Molecule: long non-coding RNA, 54342 nt
Filed under: Linum usitatissimum (flax)
Lineage: Eukaryota; Viridiplantae; Streptophyta; Magnoliopsida; Malpighiales; Linaceae
Description: long non-coding RNA (LUSI_LNC006001)
Rfam family: Small nucleolar RNA Z122 (bases 6271-6349)
Source: RNAcentral
CUCUCAAGACUGUGCAAUAGCGUGUGAUCUACUGUACAUGUAUUACGAUUUUUAGAGCCAAGCUCUUAGUAUUGUGCAGUAACGUGUGAUCUACUGUACAUGGGUUGUGAAACAGAGCCAGGCUCUCAGACUAUGUAGUAGCGUGUAAUCUACUGUACAUGCAGUUGUUUAAUUUCGAGCAUAAGCUCAUGGUGAUUAAACUAUGCUUGUGAUUCACAGUUCAUGUUAGGACAGGAUCAUGUUUAGCUAGAUUAGCUCUCGAUAUGCAUUGGUCACCCGCCCAUGGAUUGCGCAAUCCCUUAGGUCAUGUUCAGGCUCAUGUUGGACGUGUCGAGUAUGCCUAUAGAUGCUGCUCACACGGUUUUCAGGAUGGUUUCAUAGUUUGAUCCACCAUGAGGCUAUCUACCAUAGCUAGGGGUGGUUGUUGUCAAGAUGAUGCCUACAACCUGUGAGUAAUGCAUGGGUCGAACCAUGUAGUUCGAUUGGGUCUUCUAGGGGCGUGUUUCACGGUAAUCUUCUAUAUAUGUCCCGAAAGCAAGGAUGGUGGCUAUCUCGGUAAACCACUAGCGCUUGUAGAGGUGAUGAUCCGAGACUUCCUUUGCUUCUUCCAAGAGAAAUAAUUGAUCAUCCAGAAAGAGCUCAUUUAUCUCUGCUUCAGCGAAUCGACCCAGAGAAGGCCCUUCAAGGUGCGAUAGGUGGUUAGCUGCAACGUUCUCUGAUCUCGCCUUGCCCUUAAUAGUCAUGUCAAACUCUUGAAGGAGUAGCACCUAGUGAAUCAAUCUCAAGUUCCCAUCCUGUUUAGCUAUAAGAUACUUAAGAGCAAAAUGGUCGCCGGAAUCUGGGCAGAGGUCGCCAGCGGUAACGGCCUCACUAGAGAAGAAGGGUGACCUCCCCACAAUCAUGAGGAGUUCAGUGACCAGAUCUGCAAAGUCUGAAAGAUAAGUUGCUGUUGUGCAUUUGAAUAUUCUAAAGUCUAGCUUCCGUAGCUCUGAAGUUUUGGAUGGUUUACAGUUAUGGACCUUGGUCAGAUUUUUUAUCAUUUGGAAGUUCUAGAUCAGUUAGUGUAAUGGAGGUCAUUAGAGGACUAGAGUAACAUUUAUGUCCUUAAAAUUUUCAGAUUAUUGCAAAUAAGUAAAUGGAGAAGAACUCGGUCGUUUGAGCUCCAAAUGACGCACGGUUAGAACUUACGGAUUUAUGGCAACGAGAGAAAUCAUGCCAAGUUAGGAUCAAAGGUGUCAGAUCUUCUUAACAGGUGGGGGUUUAGGAUUACAUUCUGCUUAUAAGCUUAGAACUAUAAUAGGAUGUUAGGGAAUCCGAUUAUUGGAUUCUUCAUGUGAUUCAGAGCAAGGGCUCUCAGGAUUGUACAAUAGCGUGUGAUCUACUGUAUAAAUGUUGUGAUGUGAUUCGGAGCAAGUGCUCUCGGACUAUAUAGUAGCGCAUAAUCUACUCUAUAGAUGUUGUGAUGUGCUUUGGAGUGUGGGCUCUUAGGCUGUACAAUAGCGUGUGAUCUACAGUAGAGGCAAUUAUUAUAAUUCGAGCAUAAGCUCUUGGCGUUUGGACUGUGGCAUGUGAUUCACAGUUCAUGUUAGGAUAGGAUAGGCCUAGAUAGACUAGGUCACAAUUAUGAUACGUCGGGCACCCACCCAUGGAUUGCACAAUCCCCCAUGUUAUAAUCGGGCUCAGGCAGGACGUGUUGAGUAUGCAUACUGAUGCUGCUCAUACGGUAUUCAGAGUGGUUUUAUGGUCUGAUCUACCGUGAGGUCAUCCACAUAGCUAGGGGUGGCUGAUGUUAUGUUGAUGCCUACUGGACCAGAUGGUCACAUUACUAGAGUAGUGACUACAUAGAAUUCCAUGUUCUAUUCUUAGUACAGGUCAGUUUCAAUCUCAGUUCUACGCGAGUCCAGAUAGCCACUUAGUGUUUAUCACUAACUCUAUUAGAUAUUAUUUUCUCUGGUGUAUAUGUGUGUUCGGUCACAAGAACUGGAGCUGAUGGUGGGGAGAGAGCUAGUCGGAGUUUUGAUAUCACAUGAUAUAUGUUUUGAUGUAUUUUCAGUACUAGAGUUGCAUCUCCUUUUAUCAUGUUGUGAUUUGGGAUCCGAGAUCCUUGUUGGUCAAUUUUAUCAAAGUAUUUCGGUUCAACUUUUAAUGCUUGUUUUUGCUCAUUUAUUAGUAGUAGAGAGUAGAGGUUGGUUCAGCUUGGAACCCGAUAAGAUUUCUUGAUUGAACCAGUGGUUCGACCAAAACUCUUAGGGUGGGGUUUCAGAGAAAAUGUGAUAGUGAAAUAUACAUUUCCCAAAAAAAUUCAUCUUCCCACCGAUAAGUUUUGGCUAUUUUCGUAUUUUCAUAAUUACCUUUAUUUUAGAUUGUAUGAUUCAAUUCAUUACCAAUUGUCAGAUUAUGUUGUGACAUCAUCAUUUCUAUCAAACGAACAACAUUGGCUCCAUUUAUAGGAUUUUAUCUAUUGCAUAUAAGACUAUUGGAUCCAUUUUGAUUUGUAAAAGUGGGUCCUACUUCCAUCUCAUUUUGUUUUGAAAUUUUGCAUACUUCACUUUGAAAGGCUUCUCAUUAAUGCAAUUCAAAAACAUUUGCAAAAGUGGACUUACAUGAAUAAAAUGAUCAUUUCUUAUAUAUUAUUUUAUUAGCAAAUAAUGAUAUGAGAAGGCCCAAUCCAUUGGGUCUUGAUCAGAAUGGCACAACCUAUUAAAAAUACCUAUUUUGGCAUAACAUAAUUAUAAUUUUACAAAAUAAAAUAUUUAAUUGACUUUUUAAAACUCAAUACAAAAAACUAAAAAAAUAUCAAAGUUCAUCAUAUUCUUCUCCCACCACCAUCCUAUCUCCACUAUCUUCUUAUCAUCCCCAUCAUCCAUUGCUAAACCCAACAAUUACUUUCUCUAAAUCUAUCACUUACCAAAUCCAAAAUCAUAUUCAUUUGUACACACAACCAAGUAUGCAAAUUUUAGAUAUGAUUUGUGUUGGUUUUUUAGAUCUGAUUUUGUCGAUCUCGAAGGUGAAGAUGAUUGACGACGGGGAAGGGGACUCUAAUACCCAAAUAUGCUACUGGAGAAUAAUCCAUCUUUCCAGACUAUUGCAAUUCAUACCGCUCCUUGAAUACUUACAGAGAAAGACGGCGCAUCGAGCUCAAAAGGAGAGGGUAGCGAGCAAUCGAAGGAGAGUAGAAAAAGCCGUUGCAAGCAAAAGAGAAAUCGACCACCAGAUCUCCUAGGAUUCCUCAUCUGAGGAAGCCAUCAAGAGAUUUUUUCCUAUAAGUCAGUUCAGCUACUAAAGCUACAAGUGGUGAUGAUGAAUAAGCUUCCAUAAGUGGUUCGCUGGGUAUCUCUACUUUGACCUCCUUCAUGGGAGCUCCGUCGUCGCCGCUGGCGACCCUAAAAAAGAACAUGCAUUUAAACGCGUUUACACACUAAACUAAAAAGGAGAAUGAAAGACUAUAAUUGGAAUUUCAACAACAAGAGAAAGUUAACUUCUUUUUUCUAAUCCACCGUCGGGAGGAGCAGCAGCAAGCUUCGCCCGUCUUCUUCCCUUUUGGGAUUUUUUUGAAUUAAUUAAGAAUUUUAUUAAUUAGAAGUUUAAAAUUAUAUGAUGUGGAGCCUAUAUUGAAGUCAAGUGGGAGGUACGUCAGGGGUGUUAAGUUUGACUGUUAAGUUGAUGGUCAAAUUUCAAAUAUGUGCCACAAUAAGUAUUUCUAAUAGGUUAUGCCAUUCUGGGUUUAGACCCAAUAGGUUGGGCCUCCUUAGAUCAUUAUUCAUUUUAUUAACUACAUAUAUGUUAUAAAAAUGUAUAAGUGACAAGUGGGUCUCAAAUGAUUAAAAAAUAUAAAUGAAAAAAUGGGCCACAAGUGAGAUUAUCACUUUGACUUGGAACGAGUACAAAUUUGCACUUAAAAUGAUCCUUUCCCAUCAAUAAUAUUCUCAUUUAAAUUUAAAAAUUGCCACAUAGGCUCCAUGUUACUUAACAAGUAGGGAAAAUCUCAGUGAUAAGAUGCUAUAAUAACAAAUAAUCUUGAGGCCAAAUCCAAUAACUGAGCAUGCCUUCUACAUGUCGGACUCCACCAUAUAAACACGGCCCACGUUAUAAUUGAUUCAUUAAAAAAAAGAAACAAUUUGAUGAAUUGAUGAAAGAAGCGAAAGGCAAAAGAUGGAAAUUGUCGUUUCUCUUCCUAAAACUAGGGUUUUGUUUCUCUCACUAAAAUUAGGGUAUCUCUUCGUCAUGAAGACUUCCUACACCCCCAUCGCCAUCAUGCUCAAGCACAAACCUACUCCUAUCAUCAACAAACCCAUCCCACCUACCGAUGUUGUCAUCAAAACAAGACCGACCCUUACUGCACCCAUGGCCUCCCUAUCGUUGAAGGAGAGUCAUGGCUCGGAGGACCUGACCGGAAUGACAUGGCUGACGAUUGGAUACCAGAGCUGCAGCAAUCUGGAAAGCCCCACAAAGAUUCUCCGCCGACAAAGACCAGCAGGUCAACACUAAGGAGAGGCGGUGUUCCUCCGAUCUUCGAGCUACAGGGGAGCGAGACGACUCUACCCCAUACACCAUAGUGACAUCGCCGGUGUGGACAUCCGAUCAUUCCAUUCAAAGCUCAUGAAGAUCGGCUACACUUGUGUUUGGCUUUCUUUAUUUUUGUUUAGUACUCUCUUUUUAGACAUUUGGUUGAUUUUCAGUCGUACGUUGCACUUCAUUUGUUUCCUUCCUUGAGUCGGGGUAUAGUUUUGUUAAUUUUUUUGUUUAUUUCGUUGCAUCUAAAACCGUUGAUGGUCGAAGAGAUUAAAACUGUAAAUAAAAUAUUCAAUUACCUACUUUCCCCUUACAUCUUUUCUAAAAAACAACUCUCAAUUGCAUUUCUCAUGGUCAAUGUUAUAUCACGCCUCCCUCUAUAAAGAAAUUAUAUUUUGUAAAAAAAAAAAGCGAAAGGCAAAAGAUAUCGCGAGACCUAGUUCUAUAUAAACCCAUUCCAUUCGCAGGUUACGAGCGGCCGUCAUCGCUGUCACAGGGCCAGAUAUGGGAAGCGCUAAAGCUGGCAAACCCUCAAAGAAGUCUCUCAGAAACCCUAAUCCGCUUCGCAUUACCCAUAGGAAGAUUACGAAGCACAAACGGCAAGACAUUGCUGUUGAUACAGUUCCCACCGCCCUGAAGUAGAAACACAACCUCAUAUCGGAGAAGAGGAGCCCCUUCCUUCAGCUUCCCAGCAACUCAGCUUUUUCCUCAGCAAGUUCCAGUCAGCUAAUGGUCUUCAAGGUUAGUCUCUACCGCUGGAGCUCCACAAUAUUGUAUCCCAUGACAUCUCUAUUUGGUUGCUGGACAGAGGGAUUAUUAACAAUUUGUGUAUUGUAUUUGCAGAAACAUCCUUUAUUCAGUUAUUUUGAGAGCUGCCUCAGGAUGUUGAGGGCCUAGGCCAGCAUUUGAAGACUGCUUUCGGAAAGUCAUGGAAAGAAGAACGCUGUGAUCGAAAGCUCGUGGAUAGGUAAACUGAACCAGAGAGUCCUGCUGCUCUUUUCAUUUCUACAUCUGCAUUGAGAGCAAUAGAACUUUUAAGGUAUAGAUUCUCUCAGUUCUUGUUAAUGAUCUUUGUUUUGCUCGAUUUAAUCAGGGUUUGGGCUUGAUUCAAUCUUCUUCUUUUAGGGGUGUGCGUUCACUGAGCGUUCACUGACGAAAGAAUGCCAUGCUGCAAAGCUCUUCUCUAAGCACAUGAAGGUUGAAGAACAUGUGAUAUCCUUUCCCUUUUGUCACUUGUUGUUCCUAUUACAUCGUUAAACAAAAUACUAUCUCUUUAUGUUUCGAGGUGUUGUCAUUUGUUUUGGAUAUCAUUCAGUUCCUUUUAUUAUUACUGCUGCUCGAGUUACGAACAUCUGAGGAAAUAGCAAUGCUUAGGAUGUUAUUGUCCACUUCACUGUCUCGAGACACCGACAUUGUCUUUAGUUAUUAUUUAUGGGUCCAACAAGUUAUGACUUGAACCAUGGUCACAUGGAACAAAAUUAAUUUAUAAAUUCGGACUUCUGUUUCAUCAGUGACAUUUUCACUCUUCGUCAUCAUAUACAUUUGGUGUUUGUUUGUUUUUGGUAAAAGGAUUUGAUAUUACCAGUUAUAAAGAUCAAAGGGCAGUAGCAGUGCAGGAUAAGCUUUUUUCACAUCAGUCUGCUUCUAGUUCAGUAUCUUAGUUUCAAUGAUUUAUGGCUGGAAGCAUGGAGCAGUAUGGAAUUUUUGCAAACAAUUGUUGGAUUAGGAAUUUCAUACUUCUUUUCACUGCAUUUUGAUGUUGGGAUAUGAUGAGUUACACGGAUCAAAUGCUCUAGCAGUGCUGAAUAUGUUUUUUGCACGUCAGUCUGAUCCCAACUUACCGUAUUUUUACUGCCCCUACCUUUAAAUGCAUGUCCGAGUUCUAACAAUAGAUGACUUGAGACAUGGAGCCUAUGAAUGGGGGUUCUCUGUUUGAUUUUAUGACAUUUUACAAUAAUUGUCACAAAUUUUUUUGACAUUGGAUAUGAUGAUGAGUUAGAAUCAAAGGCACUAGAGAUGCUGAAUAUGAUUUUUUGCACGUCAGUCUGAUCCCAGCCUUUCGAUUUCUGAUUACUGGAAUUUAAAAUUUUACUUUGUUUUCGUCAUUUUGACAUUGGGAUAUGAUGAUGAGAUGUAGAUCAAAGGCAUUAGCGGUGCUGAAUGUUUAUUUUGCACGUCAGUCUGAUCCCAGCUCACUGUUCCGAGAUUGUGCUGCCUUCUUGCAUUUCCUAGUUAAAAAAAUGUACUCCUUGGACAUGGAUCUAAACGAACUUCAAAAUAUGAAUGAUUAAGAUUUCGUGAUCAGUGUCAUUCAUAGUUUAUGAUCACUAAUUUAAAUCUCGUGGCAUAUCUUGCAGGGUGUUUAUAGCCAAUUAGAUGCCACACUCACUGAAAGCUUAACUUACGAUUUAGGUUCUGGUUGUGUAUCCCCCCCCCUGUCCACCGCCUUUAACCUUGUACUUCUAAGCAAUUGAUUGUAUUUCCUGAAUAAUGGCUACAUAUUUCGUAAUUGUUCAUGCUCUGCUGAUUAUAUUUUUGCACGUCUCUGUUCCUAAUAAAACUGCACACUAUUUUACGAAAAAAGACGUGCACGCUAAUAUCGUACACCAAUGUAAUAUAACACUAUUAACAACAAAAAGUUCUUAGUACGGGUUCAAUGUCAUCAUGCAACAUCCAUGAUGCCGUUCCUUAGUCUCUCUACGUGACUCUGUGUUGCAUUUGGUAAACUAUUUCUUAAACUUCUGGCUCCGUUUACUGCAGGUCACUUUCUUCAAGAAUCGUGUCAAUAUUGCCAGCGGCACACCAAACAGGUUAGUCACCAGUCAUUUCAUCUCGAUAUUGAUGUUACAAUGGGUCGUUUGGAUGAGGUAUUUGAAAGUGGUAUUUUGGCUCAAGUAACUCAAACUAAAGUUAUAACUGAGUUAUUUGGGCCAAAACACUUCGUUUUCCAUCCGAAAUAAAAGUCGUUAUAUUUCAUAACUGUGAUAUUUGAAAUAAUUAUGGAUGUGAUAUUUGAAAUAACUCAAUUUAAAACCAUAACUCAAAAUGAUAGCUAAACGAAUAAUUCUUAUCCCCCAAAUUCUUACAACUGAUCCAAACGAUUAAUGUUUACUUGCUCAUCCUUUUCGUUCUAGCUGAAUAUUUGCAUUUCCGAAAUAAUGCGCCCCACAUGAGUUCGGUAUACAUUGGUGAUUGCUUUUGCAAGUUUUCCGUGCAUGAAUUGUUGUGGUAUUCAUCAGAAAAUUACCAAUAGGAAAUAGUUAAGAGGUCGUAGAAAAUGCAUCGGGAGUGUCAUUUUAUAUUGUAGGGGCAAAAAUUGAUUUUGAUGAAUUUGAACUUUCUUGACUAGAUUCUUGAUAAAAAAAACUAUCUUGACUAGGUUGAAGAAGUUGAUAGAUAUAAAAGCAAUGGGGCUCUCGCGGUUUUAAAGUUAUCGUGCUAGAUGUCCACCAUGAUGUAAAGGGUUAUUCCUUGCUCACACUUCCACAAGGGGGAGAUAUAGAGAGAAUGUCCGGUCUCUUUUCAACACAGCGAGGAGCAUAGUCGAUUUUGUCAUGUGAAGAGUUGCUGUUGUACAAGUGUUAGUUUGUUAUUUUGACAGGACACUUUUUCAAUUAUUCAAAACUUAUAUUCUAGCUAAGCUAAGGGUAAAUAUCCAUUUUGUAAUUUCACUUGUUGCUGCUUCUACCAAGAGACAGCACACAAGGAAUUAUACUCAUCGGCUUCCUGGCCGCAAUUGAGUUAAAUCUUCUUUUCGGCCCCUAGCGUUUAAAAUAAAAUAAAUCUUUCACCGGCUACCUUCAAAAUCCUCUGUUUAUCUUUCCUUUGAUCUUAUCAAAUUUUUAUAGUGACAAAGUUUGUGAAAUUACUUAAUAAAAAAAAGAAAAAAUUAUUAAACAAUUGCUAAUAUUUAGGCCCGACAUUCGAUAUAGCACAUGUUUUUUAUAAUAUUUUUUUUUGCCCAAAUUUCAAAUUAUGUUAAUUCCUUUAAGUUAAAAUUAACGGAUUGGUGACAAAUGCUGACAAGGCAAACAAUGUGUCUGAUGUGGAUGGAUGAAAAGAAGUCAAUCGGAAAUAAAUACACAGUCAACAUACAGUUAAAAAAUUUUAUAACAAAAACCACCCACAUUCCUUAUCCUCUUCGUCGACCAGCCUUUUAUCACCCACCUGUCACCUCCCUUCUAAAUUAAUUUUCAUCAGAUGGGGAGAAAGAGUGGAAGAAGAAGAAGAAGAAAGAAAGAUGGAGCAAGGUGCAUUUGAUUUGAAUCCCGACAAUGUCGACAACAAUCUUGUAUCUAAAUUCUUUGUCGAUUUGAAUUUCGAUGAUGCCAACAACAACCUCAUUCUUGAACUCUCCGUCGAUUUGAAUCCCGACGAUCCCAUCAACAACACCAUUCCUGAACUCUUCGACAAUUUGAAUCCCGACGAUGCUGAUAACAACCUCAUACCUGAAUUCUCCGUUGAUUGAAUCUCAAUGAUGCCAACAACGACUCUCUAUCGUUGUCGAUGAAAUGCCCAAGCUUGUGGAGAGAUGGAUACAGGGAGUAGUAGCAGGUACAUGUCCAAAUAUGGAUGUUGAGAAAUCCUCCUCGGCUGUCGAUUUCGAAUGGUCCCCACGUUUCAAAUUGAUUUUAGUGUUCUUGCUGGGAGUAGGUUUGCACGCGGCUGAGAUUGGGUUUAUCUGUUUGUUGCAAAUGAAUGAAUUGAAUUGGUUGGUUUUUUAUUGGGGGUGGGUUUUGCAAGCAAGUUGAGUUGUUUGAUUGGUUUGAAGUUUUUUUUGUCUUGAUUGGGUUUUGUAAAAAAUGCUAGCAGAAUACUGACAAUGGAGGAGAAGGUGGAGGAAGGAAAAAGAAGGUGGAGGAGAUGAAUGAUUUUUUUGGUAGCUGAGUUAUUAUUAUUUAAUGAAAGGAGGUAAAUAAAAUUUACCUAACUAAGCUGACGUGACCAGUGAUUGUUAUGUGGCGUCGGACAUGGUAUCUUGAUGAUUUUCUUCUUACGGCGUUUCGUGUUUGGUUAACUAUAACGGUCAACGACAAAGUCAACUGAUUUUCGUUAGUGUGAUUUGAAUUUUGUCAGAAAAAAAUGUAUUUCGGAAAACAUGUGCCAGAUCAUUUGUCGGGUUAAAACAUUGCCAAUUGUGUUAGCUAAUUUUUCCUAAAAUAAGUUAGUGACAUUUUAUCAAGUCGAUCUACACUACAGGAAACUAGAUGUUUAACAACAUCAUUUUUUCUUGUUGACGACAACCAUUUCCUGUUGUUAUGUAUCAUAACGGCGGCUUUGAUUGCGCUAUUAAGAUUGCCAAUGCAAAGAGAUCCUACCAGCGAAAUAUUGGCCGCGGUUAAGUGGGGAAGCGUAACAGCGAAUAGCUGGCCGCUGUUAGGUUGCAUCCUAAUAGCGAAAUAUGACCGAUGUUAGACGAAAUUCUAAUAGUGGCAUUGUGUCCGUUGUAAGGAUUUCGCCUAACAGCAACUACAUAUCCUCAUAGUUUUCUUAUUAUUUUAUUUUUUUCGUUUGGCUAUUUUCCAUAUAUAUCCAACUUGUUCAAGUAAUUUUUUCGAUAGGUAGAUAGAAAUACAAAUUUGGGAAACACUUUGCUAAAUAUAAAACUAGUCAUUUUGAUUAAAUAUUUGAUUGUUAGGACACAUACUAAUUCCUUGGCUUAAACUACACCAUCCUUCUAAAGUAACUACUUGAUUCAUAGUUGUUCAUCCAACAUGUACAAUCCACUAAACAUAGACUACUCCUCUUGGUCGUAAUCAAGCUCAUCGUCCCUCUCAUUUGUUUCCAUCAUAGUGCUCGUUCACAUUUGUUUGCAUCAAAUGGCUGCCAUCAUACAUUUGGAUUUAGAACAUCUGCCUCAUCUCCUCCAAAUCAUGAGAUAAGCCAACUUGAGAGUUGGCAAGAUGAGCUAUACACCUACAAUACACCAAAUAAAAGUUAGUUUUUUUAUCCAAAAAAAUUUGCAUGACCAAUUCGAAUUCACGGUUUAACUUAUACUCUUUGAUCUACAAAAUGAACAAACGAUACUAGAUUUGGAAGGACAAGUUUCGACAGCUACAAUGAAUCAAGGAAACCUUUUACAUCUACAUUAUCAAAACAUAAUUGCAGAAUUAAAAGUAUAAACCAUGAGUAAGGUUGAAUGAUAAAAUUUUCACUAUUUAGAGGUGUCGGUUAAAAUGUGCAAAUUGGAUAAUAAAUUUGCAUGGGAAGGAUGAUUAUGUAGAUUACGUAAUAAACUAACAAAUACAUAUAUACUUAUGAUUUGAAUGGGACUUGUAAGUUAAAAUUGGAGGCGCCCCUCUUAAUUUGUACCUAUUGUAUGUUCACUAACCACCCAUAAUAAAAACAAGCAAGAAAAAUUGGAUUUGGUGGAUCACUCGAUGAAGAAACAAGAUUCGAAACUAGCCCUCAUAACUUGAUUAGGUGAAGUUUCUACCUAUAACAGUCCAACUUAGUGGUAGAAUUAAUUUAGGAUUAAUGCUGAAAAAUACAAAUACUUAUUCAUUUUGCUUUCACUCUAAAUCCUAAAUGGCGCACCACUGUUCCUGACUUCUCUUUUUUGUUCUUCGAACGUAUACGAUAUGCCCUCGCCAUAGCAUCCUCCUUGCUAACCCCAUGUUAGUAUUUGGUUCCUUCAUAAACUGUUUGACUUCAACCUAUAUUCAAUCUCAAAAUCUUAAAUAUAUUAGAAUUGCAUCUUAUCAACAAAAGGUCAAAACACAAUAAAAUUAUAUGCAACUUACAUAAAAGUCUCAAGUAACAUAUGUUUCAUCUUCUCUUUCAUAACACUUGAAAAAGAACUCAGAUCUUCUUACUUCUUUUCCUUUCGCUUUCUUCUACAUUAUACGUUCUACAAUCAAUACAAAUUAACUUCUCAUGACUUUUGGAACAUAAUAUAAAGACGAUUGAUGAGAUGCUUACUUACCAUCUCUUCACGAAUUAUAUUGAAAGGUUUUGACCCUUUCGUAUGAUAGAUGUCUUGAUUAGAACGAUACCUUGUUUCUUUGCAGAUGCAGUCUAUAAAACUGCUAGUAAUUGACAAAUGACAAUAAUAAAUAUCAUUAUAUCAAAUAUAAGUACAAAUGUAAAACUUACUAGAGUUGGCUUCCCCUCCUAUAUCUGCAAAACAUAUCCCACUCACGUUCAUCAAUAUUUGGUGGUUUCCUGUCUAAGUUGAGCUGAAGACCUUGAGUAGCAUCGAUAUUUGGUGGUUUCCUAUCACGUUCAUCGAUACUAAUCAAUUUUCUUUGGAUAUGACUAAUGUAAUGAAGAAGAUAGAAGAGAUUAAAUCUAAAACCCUUAUGAUUACCCUGCAUUCAUAAAGACUGCAAUGCAAUAUGUACAGAGAGGCGUGGACACAUAGCAAAGUCCUUACAAUUUUGACAAUUACCAUCCAAUACAAUUUUGUAAGCUACAGCUAACAUUCAUGAGCUAAUAAGUUUUGUCAGGUCGGUUACGAAAGAAAACACACUUAACUUCAUAAACAAUAAUAAAUUAUGAAAACCCCCAAAUCAAAGUUAGGGCUCAUCUAAAUCAUUAACAAAUCAUACAAACUGAUUUCAAUCUCAAAAUUAAACUUAGACCCAGCACUAUAAAUAAGAUGUCUAACCUAAAGCUAGAACAAAACACUUCCAAUUCACUAAACGGAAAACAUUUCAAAGAUCUAGAUUUUACUAACCUUUCAAUUUUCUUGCUAACACAAGAUGACUGAUUGAGAUGAUGGACAGGAACCAAAAUGAGCCGCAGCUGGAAGGCCGGAGCAAGCGACGCCGGCACGAAGAAGAAAAACGCCAGCGAACGGCCGUUGGUGAAGAUACUAUCUGGCUGUGUCCUUUGUUCAAUUUGGGGAAAGUUGGGUUUUUACGUGGUGUUGGGGGGUUAUAUGUAUUUGGAGUUUCGUUUAUAUUAAUAUAAUGAAGAAUUAAGUCUCAUUUUGUUUGGGGCUUUAAAUUAAUAACCCAACGUCGGCUUGAUUCUCUACAUAGCCGCUGAUAGGAUUACUCUUAGCAGCUGCCAUCUAAAUAAGAGCCACUGUUAAGUUGUUGUAUUCCAUCAUAUUUUUUAAUUAUUAUCCUAACAUCGGCCAAUAUUAAUCAGGGCCGAUGUUAGGUAGUAAUAACGUAUCAGUAGCCUUCCAUUUAUUGUUAGGAUAUUGACCUAACAUUGAGACCAUGUCCGUUGUUAAAUUUUGUAUGUUAAAAUAUCCUAACUGCAGGUCUAUGUGGCUACAGUUAAAUUGGCAAUAUUAGGUAGUCAGUUUCUUGUAAUGCUACCUUGUUUAUCAUAGAAAAUUUGUUAUGACAAACGUGAUUGUUGUUGUUACAUAACAACACUCUAAUUUUCCAUCUAUUUUUAAUUUUAAAAAUUUGACAGUCUUAAUUUGUUGAAUAUUUUUAAUCUUUUUUACAUUUUUAUCUCUCAUAAAUAUGUCCUAAUUUUUAGUUAAAGAAUCCUCAUUCAAUUUCUAUUUCUAUUUCUAUUUUUUUACCUAUAUUUAAUUAAGUUAAUAACUUAAUAUUUCCUUAAUUGCUUUUUACAGGUUGUCAACGGAGUUCUGGUACUCCCAACAAGUGAGAAGAACGAUCAGAUUAGUAACAGAGCACAAACAAAGGUACAAAAUAAAUUACCAUAUCACAGUCUCAGGUAUAUAACUCCAUACAAUAGCACAUUCAUGGGUACAUAACUAGACAAAAAUUAAUCAAAAAUUGAUACUUCAAUACACGAGGUAUAAAAUGCAGUACCAUAUCACAAACCCCUUUUUUUUUUUUUUUUUUUUUUUUUUUUUUUUUUUUUUUUUUUUUUUUUUUUUUUUUUUUUUUUUUUUUUUUUUUUUUUUUUUUUUUUUUUUUUUUUUUUUUUUUUUUUUUUUUUUUUUUUUUUUUUUUUUUUUUUUUUUUUUUUUUUUUUUUUUUUUUUUUUUUUUUUUUUUUUUUUUUUAUUUUUUUUCUUUUUUUUUUAUUGUCUGUUUUUUUCUUUUAUCCUGUUUUUCUUCCUUUUCAAGAUCUUGAAAAGAGAGAGAAAAUGAGAGAGAGAGAAUGAGAAAGAGAAAACGAGGGAAAGAGAAUGAGAGCAAGAGAGAGAGAGAGGAGGAGAAAUUUUUGGAGUUUUUUUAUUUUUAGUGGCUUUGAUAUUGAAAAUACUAUAUAAAGAAUUUUAGAUGAAAUCAGUCAGUUGAUACAAUUAUUGUUGUUAUGUGCUAUUAUCGUAUGAUAAGCGGGUGGGGCUUUUCUUGUUUUCGUAAACAUCAAGAUUUUAUUGGUUGGGUCUAUGAUUCCAGCCUACAUGAUACUCAAAAGGGCCCUGGUUCAUCUGGAAAUGAAAAGUGCUUUAUGAACGUUUGGAUUGGUGCUUCCUUGACUCGGUUUGGUAACUUCAAUUUCUACCCACCUAUAUCGUGUUAAGUCGGAUCACCGACCUAUUUUCAUGGUUGCGACCAAGCUCAAGAAGUCAAAUCUUCCUCAUACCUUUCGCUUUAUGGCUUCAUGGUUGUCACAUGUUGAGUUUAAGCCUUUUUUUGUCGGAAUGGAAUCGGUCUUUUACCUUUAUUCAUCAGAUGUCCAUUCGAGCUACCAAACUGAAAAAAUGAAAUAAGGAAAUUUUUGGCAACAUCCAAACGAAUAGAAGGAGCUUAUCUUUAAACUUGCUGAUGUUUAAGCUCUCGCAGCUCCUCUACUCAUUCAAGACACCACAAUGGACAUUGCAAGUGACCGGAAUACUCAUUUUUUUCACGUAUCCACCUUCCGUAGGCGUGCUCGGAACCACAUUAUUAAGUGAAGGAUGACUGUGGGGUGUGUAUUCAUUAGGUUUGGGAGUCGGUUAAUUUGGUUAAUAACCAUCGGUUAAUGGUCGGGAAGCGCUUUGAUGAUUGAAAUUAAUUAACCAAAUUAACCGACCGAGCAAAAGCCACGGUUAAUCUUACCGACCGAUAACCGACCAAUCAGUUAAAUGAUCGAUUAUUAACAGACUGACUCUCGGUUAACCGUUGUAACCGGCUCUGACCAAUUUAACUCUCUUCUCAUAUUGCAACAAGAUUCUAGGCUCUGGCUCUAGAUCCGUCGUCGAUUCAAGCCUUGGAGACCAUAGCUUCUCUUCUGGAAACAAUCCGGUGCUCUACAACUUGAUCCUUCGGGACUGGAAGCUUUCCGAGACGGCGUUGUUGCGGAUCAGUAAGGAGAGGAGGAAGCUUCAAGCCUAUGGUGUUGCAGAUCGAAGAAUUGAGAGAGUGGAGGAGGAGAGGAUUGGCCGUGGCGACGAAGGAAGCAUGUGGUGUUGCAGAUCGAAGAAUCGAGAGAGUGGAGGAGGAGAGGAGCGCUUGCGGUGACUCGUCGUGGUCGUCGUCGUGACUGCCGGCGAGAUGCUGAAAUUGAAUCGCUUGGAUUGAUAGAGUUGUCGAGAUGGAUUGAUGGAGUUGUCGAGAUGGAUUGAUGGAGAUGGCUCGGAGUUAACCUAAUUUCAGAAUGAGAGGUUGUGAUGGAGUGGGAGGCUGGGAGGGGAGGGAGCGAUUCUGCGAUUGUGGUGAGCAAAGCUUGAUUUCCUAAUUGGGGACCUUGGUUUUUUUAAUUACCGGUUAACGUUGGUUAACUCGAGUUAACCAACGAUUUUACCCUGCUCCAACAAGUACUCCCAACUGUUCCCCGACCGACCCCUACCUCGGUUAAACCGACACUCUAACCGAGUCGAUCAGUUCAUCUGUUUAACCUAUUAACCGAGACUGAUGGCCCACCCUUAGUAUUCAUCCAGCUUGUUGCUGCAAUUAGUGUCGUAUUGAUAUGGUUGAGAGAGGAUAAAAUAUGCUUGAUUUCAAGUUCUCCAACUUGAAAGGUUUAGCUGUUAAAAAUGUAGAGGUCAUGACUGAGUACUGAUUUCCAGCAAGGAGAAGUUGGAUAUUUGCUUGCGAUAAAAAAGAAUUUGGACAGUCUAUCUUAGGCACAAAAUCUAACGGAUGAGAUGGCAACUUUACUUCAGGGGCCUAUUGGUCAUUUUAAAAUUUUCUUGUUUUUCAGUUUAUUUUUCCAUUCUGUUUAAUAUUGGUUCAAGUAAAAUGAUUUCUUGUAAAUUGGGUCUAUUGAGUAACGUGGGUGGGUAGACUUUAUUGCUCCCAUCGAGCUUGACGUGAUAUUUUCUUCUUCGUUUCUUUAACAUGCAUAAAUUGUAUAUAAUACGAAAGGUUGGAAAUAUAUGUGAAGCUCGAGGUUUAUUAUAUAUGUUUCGAGGUUUAUUAUAUAUGUUGAACCUUUUUGCCAAUUGGUUAUUUUUAUCAUGUAGUGCCUUAUCAAGUAAAGGGAAUGGUUGUUUUUAUCUACUGUCACUAGCCAACUUUCUUUCUCAUGUGAUCAAUUAUUUGAUCACGCAUGAAUGACUACAGUACACAAAAGAUAGAAAUAUUAUAAAAACAAAAAACAAAUAUUAAAAAAAAAUACCUAAAAAGCAGGUACAUAACAACAAAAACAAUAACCGUAAAUAUCAAGUACAUGAAAGCGGAUGCUCAAAAUAAGCACGCACACAUUAAAAACUUUGGUACAUACAAGGCAAGAAAAUCGAGAACAUAUUGGAACUCGAGUACCGGAAUUGGUACGGUAUUAAGUACAACGUGAAGAAAUAUCAAGUACAUUAAAAAGCGAGUAUAUAACAAUAGAAAUAAGUACACGAAAACAACUCAGAGAAAUGAUAAUUUGAUUGCCAAAAUUGAGUAUGAUAAAGUAAAAUGCAAGCACGUAGUACAUGAAACAAAUAUGAGUAAGAGUACAUAAAUUUUUUAGUACAAUACAAGACAAAAACUCAAAUACAUAUAAAAACUGGACACUAAAAAAAAUAAUUAAUUAUUCACAAUUUUAAAUAAUAAUAGUCACGAUUUUUAUCAUGAUUAACAGAAGCUAGUCACGAAAAUAAAUCCGUAACUAACCUAACCGAUGCUAGAUGAACUUGUCACGAAUCUGAAUAACCUGUAACUAAGUUGUCACCGAAAUUUUCCGUGACCAACUCAUCACGGAAGAAACCGUGAACAUAUGUGUUUUUGUUUUUGUUUUUUAAAUUAGUGGCACGGAGCCAUAUGCUGUGAUAAUUGAUUUAUUAAUAAAUUAAUCCCACAUCUCCGUGGCUACUAUAUCACCAGAAUUUCCAGAUUCCGGCAACCACAAUUUCCAGAAUCCGGCAAUAAGAUAGAGUUGAUAAUUGCUUUUUUAUUAGAGUAAAAUGUUCUACAUCUAUACAUUAUGAUACCCAUAUCAAAAUUCCAGAAUCCCAAAAUUGAACAUAACGUCAACGAAAGGCACCAUGCAACAAUGGUGACACUAAGGGUUACAACAACCAGCAAAACCGAAACACAGACUGGAAAUGCUACCAAGAGAAGGAUGAGACUAGAUGAUGAGAUUGAGAUUGAGAGAAGAAAAAUGAUAGUAAGAAAUUUUGUUUUCGAGAGAGAUCAAAUGAAGAUGAGAUCUACUUCUAAUUUAAUAUAAUGGAAAUGGAGAUAUGGUUGUUUAAUGGCAAAGAGAGAAGAAAGGAAUAGCCCAUUAAACGAGGAUAGAGUCUGCAUCAUUUCUUUUUUCGACCUUUUCCCACUAAAAUGCUAAUUUUAAAAUUAUAAAUAAAAGUUGGUCACGGUUCCAACAUUUACCGUGAGUAGUUGGUCGCGGUAUUCAACAAUCCAUGACUAGUUAUGGAUUUUUUUUUAUCUAUAAGUAGUUAGUCAUGGUUUUUAAAGCCGUGAUUAAUAAAUCGUGAUUAAUCGUUGAUUUUUUUUGUAGUGCGAGUAUGAGUAUUGAGUAAAACGUCAUGUACAAAAACAAGUACAUCAAAAGCGAGUACAUAAUUAUCAAAACAAGUACUAAAACGAGAGGAAAAGUACAUAAAAAGCGAGUAUAUAAUAAUAGAAACAAGUGCAGUAAAAAUCAAGUGCAUGAAAGGAAAACGAAACUCAAACUAAACACUAAUACAAAAAAAACUUUAGUACGCAAAUAAGUAAAUACAAGAAAAUUAACAUACACAAACGAAUACAUAAGAGUAUAGUGUUUAAACAAAGCGAUUAUACGGAUCAAUACGAUGUUGAGUACAAAACAACAACUUGAGGCUUUAUCCCUCAUUUUUAGAUGAUUUUGUACUAAGUUCUUAUAUGUAUUAGUUUUUAUUAAUGUAAUCCCUCGUGUACUUUGUCUUUGGAUUUAUUUUUAUGCCAUAUCUAUUUAUUUACGCAUUUGUGUAUACUUAUAUUUUUAGAACUUUAUACUCAAAUCAAUUAAUCAAACAAUAAAACUAUUUUCUCUUUACACGAACCAACAUAAUAACCCAUCACCCCAUACAGGGUUGUGAAGGAGGUGCAGUGACCAGAAUUUUCUAGUUGUUGCUUUUCUAUAGUUUGAUAAGGGUAAGCAUCUUGUUCUAGAAUAUAUGUUGUUAGGUUAUAACAAUGCAUCUAGUUGAGCAUGAUUCUUUGGUCAAGUGUUACUGGGAUUCUUUUUGUUCCACAUCAAUGCUCGGAGGUCGAAGAGGCAACGAGGGUGACGAAGAAAUCGGCAUCACCACGUGAGAGAAGAUGAAGAAGAGGUCAGAGAGUGGAGCCGGUGGAAAAGAUAUACUAGAAGAGGUACUUAAAGUUACUUGUACGACAAAACUGCCCUUAUUCAAUUGGACAACCCCUAGAUUAAAAUUUAAAAAUGAACGGACGCGAUUCGUUUGCGGCCAGCAAACACAUAAUAUCAUGGCUGCCUAUCCGGACUCGUCAUAACUGGCGUCAACAUUACGUAGUGUUGUCAAAAAUUAAAAAGGGGAAUAUAUAAUAAUAAUAAUAACAGACGUAAUCUUGUGUAUAUAAUGAUAUUAAAACGUUUUUCAAUCGACAAAGCCAAGUCUGCGGGAGGAACAGCUAAUGGACGAACAGCCUAAGCAUAAGCCGCCUUCUUCGUAUUCUUCAGAUUCUCUGAAUCUCUACCCUUUUUUUUUGUUACGCGGAUUCCCUUCCCUCGUCUGCAAACAAAAAGCUCUUCGUUGACUUUUUAGCAGGCUUUUUUAAAAAACCUUAAUUGAAAAAAUUUGUACAUGGUUGUUGCCUUUGUUGGCGUCAGCAUGACCCAAUGCUGUUGUCAUGUUCAUGAUUGCUCCAACUCACCUGGCUGCGCAUCUGCCUUCUGACCUGACCUGCCCUCCUCCUUUUUUUUAAAUUAUGUUUCCCCAAAAUUAAAUUUAAAUCGUUACAAAAUUGGUCUCUCCUUCUCCUAUAUAUAACGUGGAAGAGCUCCUGCCAAAAAAGUCAUUCAAACUCAAAGCAGAUAAAUUAUCAAAAUAAAAAAGAAAACCCCAGUGCUCUGCCUGCCGUUAAGAAAUUAGUUUAUUGGGUUUGUUGUGUUUAUGAAAGCUGUGUUCCAGAGACUGAUAUCGUCAAGCACCCAGAUUGGCUGUAGGAAGAAAGUUGCAUCUUUUCCAUUAAUCAGAAGCGCUAAUAUGUCUGAAUCCUCUGCCUUUGAUUCUCCGAGAUUGGUGACCAAGAAGGUCCUUGCUAAGCUUCAGCGUGAAGGGGAUGGUGCUUCUGUCAGGAGAAGCAUUGGAAGGUAUAAUAUAAUAUAUCAUGGAUGGAUGGAUGGAUAUACAAUUUUCUUCUUGUCAAAAUUGAAUUAACUGUUUUCGUUUCUGUGGUGAAAUUGAAUGAUUGAAUGUUGAAUUAUUUUGGUUCAGGAGUGAGCUCAGGUCUCUGGACCCUUUCCUCAUGUUGGAUGAGUUUUCAGGUCUGCUUUGCUUAAUUACUUGAAACCAAAUUCCUUGAUAUUUUCUAGAAUUAGGAUGAUGAUGGAUGAUGGAUGGUAUUUAAUUUGUUGUUGCAAAUUGCAAUGCAUGAAGUCUCAGCUCCUGCUGGAUUUCCUGAUCAUCCACACAGAGGUUUUGAGACUGUUACAUACAUGCUGGAGGUACAGACAGUACUGGAGUUAAUUAUUUAUUAUGAAUUGAAGGCUGUUUUUUGUCCUUGGUAGUCUAUUUAUUGAUGUCUGUGAAAUUCGUGGGUGGCACUGGCAGGGAUCAUUCACUCAUCAAGAUUUUUCUGGGCAUAGAGGGACUAUUCAUGCCGGGGAUGUUCAAGUAAAAUAAUUCACUCAAUUACAAUACUACGACGUUUACUUAAUUAGCUAGCUUUACUUGAUCAAAGUCAAAAACUCUUUCUUUUUUUAAAGUAAACAACAACAACAACUUGUGUGUUUUCCUGUUGGGCAGUGGAUGACAGCAGGUAGAGGGAUAGUCCAUUCAGAAAUGCCUGCAGGAGAAGGAGUCCAGAGAGGCCUUCAGCUUUGGAUAAACCUCUCUUCUCAACAUAAAAUGUAUGUUUUUAUUUCCUUUUUUGUUUGUACUUUCCAACUUCACCAUUCCAACAGUUUGUAAUAUGGAACCAACAGGAUUGAGCCAAGGUAUCAGGAACUUCUGAGGCAGGACAUCAAAAGAGCAGAGAAAGACGGGGUUGAAGUCCGAAUCAUAGCAGGGGAAUCAAUGGAAAUCGAGUCUCCAGUUUAUACAAGGACCCCAACAAUGUACCUUGAUUUCACACUGCAACCAAGGUCCCAAAUGCACCAGCCCAUUCCAGAAUUAUGGAACGCAUUCAUUUACGUCAUUGAAGGUGAGGGAGUGUUUGGGAUCCCAAACUCCUCACCAGUUGAAGCACAUCAUACACUCGUUCUAGGCCCUGGUGAAGGAAUGAGCGCCUGGAACAACUCCUCUUCCAAACCCUUGAGGUUUGUCUUGAUUGCAGGCCAGCCACUUAACCAACCAGUGGUGCAGCAUGGUCCUUUUGUCAUGAACACAGAAUCUGAAAUCCACCAAGCAAUUGAAGAUUACCACUACUCCAAAAAUGGGUUUGAAAUGGCGCAGUAUUGGAGUUCCCAAUAGGGAACAAGUAAGUGCUUGGAUCACUCAAAACCAAAUCUCCACAUUCCCUCUCAACUUUGAAGAAGAAAAGAGUAAAGAAUAAAAAUACACAUCCACAAACACUAAAGGCCACACGCAUAUGUGAGUGAUACUCAUUUGUGUUCCAUCAUGUAUUAAUUUAGCUUUUAUCCUCUUCCAACCUUUUACUAUUCCAAAUCAAAAGGUUGAUUAUUGCAUUGUCACACAAAACAAUGAUAAUAAAAAUACUCAAUUCAUAUAAUCCUUAGAAUUAAUUCUUUUCAUAACUAUAGUAGAUGUUUGAACAAGUGAGAACAAAAUAUAAGCUUAAUCUUAAUAGUAAUAUCAACGGAUAAUAGCACUGUGUGUCACUUAAUUAUUACCCAUGUCGCACAUAAACUACUUAACUUUCUACAUUGCACAUAAAGCCACUUAACUUUGCUUAUGCUUGCAACAUCCAAAUUUUCAUUCAAUUUAUGGAUAGACUGAUCGAAUUGAUGAGUUCUUAUUCGAGAUCUUCUGUAUGAAUAACCUCCAACACAUUAAAGAGAACAAUAAUUUAUAAGAACUGACAGAAUAACUUAUUACUUGUUUACAGAAAAGAAUGAUAAAAUAAAAAGGCAAGAAUAGAUUAUAAUCAUGCCUUGGACACUGCUUUCGAAAAAAUAUUUCCCGAAUUUAGAACACCAAUACAACUAAAGGUUAAUCACAAUAUUCACUCAAACUCUAGUGUAGGGCUUGAAUGUUGGAACUUGGAAACUUAUGCUAUUUUGAUUCCGAUUUUGAGAGUGAAAACAAAGUUUUCUGCCCAUAUUAAUCAACUAGGAUUUCCCUUUUUAAAGAGAACGCAUCCACUAACCAACAUCAAAUCCAGAUUCUCCUUUCUGAUGAUCAUCAAUGAUAAGCAGAUAUGGGGAAGGUGGAGUUGAGCUCCCGAUUUCUAGGAAGCCAACCAAAUACUUCUGUUAAGCAUAAGUCUUGAGUAUAUGCGGUAUGUAACUGAUCAUUACUGUUACUUCAAGUGGUUAGAUAAUGGUUACAUCAUCUUGCUGUUGUCCGUUGAUGACAUGUUGAUAGCAAGUUCUAUUGUAAAAGAAGUAAACAAGUUGAAGAAACAGUUAUCUAACAGUUUACUAUUAAGAAUAUAGGAGACGCUAAACAGAUUUUGAGUAUGUGCAUUGAUCAUGAUAGGCAAGUAGGAAAGUUUUAUCUUUCGCAAGUUGAAUAUAUCAAGAAAGUCUUGAAGAGGUUCAAAAUGCAGGAUGCAAAACUAGUAAAGAUUCCUUUGGGUGGCUAUUUCAAGCUAUUUGAGAAGGAUAUGCCUAAUAAUGAUCCAGAACGUGCCCAAAUGCACGAAACACCAUACAUUUUUGUAAUUGAUAGCUUGAUGUAUGGAAUGGUGUGCACAAUACCAGAAAUUGCACAUGUAGUGGGAGUUGUCAAUAGAUUCAUGGGAAAUCGGGGGGAAGCGAUUAAGUACUCCUGAGAUAGUUGAAGAUUACUACUAAAAGGGUCUUGGGCUUUGAGGGCAAAGUAAUGUAGUUAGAAGGAUUUGUCAUCAAGUGACCUUGAUAGAAGAAGAUGUACAACAUGGUAUAUUUUUACUCUUUGAGGUACCAUGGUUUCUUGGGCUUUUAAGUUGCACUGUCUAACACUCAAGCUAAAUAUGUUGCGGUAACGAAGGCCAGCAAAGAGAUGGUAUGGUUUUAGAAUUUCUUUGGUGAAUUGGGGAAGAAGAAAGAGGAUAGCAUAUUGUACAUUAGUCUUAUACACUUGCAAAAAAUUCAGCAUUUCAUUCAAAAUCGAAGCUCAUAUUGAGUUGAUGUAUCACUUUAUGGGUUGAUCUCUUGGAAAGGAAGAUCUUACGGCUUAUGAAGAUUCUAGGAAGUGAGAAUCCUAUGGAUAUGCCGACUAAGGUUGUAAAGUUGGAGAAGUUGACACUGUGUAUGACUUUAACUGGUUUUGUAACUGAAGUUGAAGGUCAGAUGCUGCUUGUAGUAGGAAGACGUUGAACAUGGAGAACCAAUGAGAGGAGUAUGUCUUCAGGUGGGAGAUUGUUGGGUUAUGGUGCCUAAGAAACUGAAGGCUUGGUCCAGUUAGUUUGUUUAGUUAGAUAAAAAUUAAGAUUAAUCUUGUCUAUUCUAUAUAGGAUUAGAAUUAAUAUGGUAGCUCCCUAUAAAUAAUCUAUAUUCAUAUCAUUGUAAUCUGUAUCACAACAAUAGUAGUCGAAAUCCUAACUUGGUUUGUAAAAAAAGAAAUUCUAGCGUGGUAGCGCCCUAGACAUACUCUUCUCGUGAAGAGGAACUAGGUUCUUAAUUUUUCAGUUUAUGAUUGCGUUUCAUUUUUUACAGGAACGACCAGAUCCAGCUCAGAAACUUCCUCAAGAUGGCGACGUUGAAGAAGCUCUGUCUCGCUAACGCCUAACAAUGGCUUCUCUAGACUGAUUCAGACUGUCCUCACCGCUGGAAAAGGAGAUUAGAUAGAAAUCCAUCUUUUAUUCCUCUUCAUUGUUUUUAUGACAAUUUCUUCUUUUCUUUUAUAAUAGAGAACUAUUUAUCACUUUUGUUGGACAUUUCUUGUUUGUUUCCCUCAAGAACUAAUAAUUUUGGUCAAUGGGUGACCACUGAUGAUGUUGAUUCUAUAAGCUUUAGUAUUUAGUCAAAUUCUUGAGUUUUUUUCAACUAGAAAAAAAAAGAAGAGAGGUUACAGUUUCAAUUAUUAAGUUUGAAGAAUUAAAGAAAAAAAACUAGACUACAGAUAUGAAAAGGUAAUUCUGAUAAUUUUUAUUGAUGAAUUUUUUUUUUGUAAUGAGUAAGAUAAUUUUUUAGGUUUUAUAAAUGGGUUUUUGGUUAAAAAUCUCAUUUAGAUAGAGUUUUUGAUGGGUAAUUAUGAAAUUUGACAUAAAGGGUACAUGAUUAAAAAGGUGGGAAAGGAAGAUGCGAAAAGAAGGUAAGAAGGAAUCAAUUCAUGGCAAAAAAGAAAAAUAAAUAAGAGGGAAGAAAGAAGACAUAUAUUGAUGGGAGGCGGAGGUGGGAUAGGGAGGUGAGAGAAAGAUGUAACAACAAAGAAGGGUUUAGCGAAAGGUGNNNNNNNNNNNNNNNNNNNNNNNNNNNNNNNNNNNNNNNNNNNNNNNNNNNNNNNNNNNNNNNNNNNNNNNNNNNNNNNNNNNNNNNNNNNNNNNNNNNNNNNNNNNNNNNNNNNNNNNNNNNNNNNNNNNNNNNNNNNNNNNNNNNNNNNNNNNNNNNNNNNNNNNNNNNNNNNNNNNNNNNNNNNNNNNNNNNNNNNNNNNNNNNNNNNNNNNNNNNNNNNNNNNNNNNNNNNNNNNNNNNNNNNNNNNNNNNNNNNNNNNNNNNNNNNNNNNNNNNNNNNNNNNNNNNNNNNNNNNNNNNNNNNNNNNNNNNNNNNNNNNNNNNNNNNNNNNNNNNNNNNNNNNNNNNNNNNNNNNNNNNNNNNNNNNNNNNNNNNNNNNNNNNNNNNNNNNNNNNNNNNNNNNNNNNNNNNNNNNNNNNNNNNNNNNNNNNNNNNNNNNNNNNNNNNNNNNNNNNNNNNNNNNNNNNNNNNNNNNNNNNNNNNNNNNNNNNNNNNNNNNNNNNNNNNNNNNNNNNNNNNNNNNNNNNNNNNNNNNNNNNNNNNNNNNNNNNNNNNNNNNNNNNNNNNNNNNNNNNNNNNNNNNNNNNNNNNNNNNNNNNNNNNNNNNNNNNNNNNNNNNNNNNNNNNNNNNNNNNNNNNNNNNNNNNNNNNNNNNNNNNNNNNNNNNNNNNNNNNNNNNNNNNNNNNNNNNNNNNNNNNNNNNNNNNNNNNNNNNNNNNNNNNNNNNNNNNNNNNNNNNNNNNNNNNNNNNNNNNNNNNNNNNNNNNNNNNNNNNNNNNNNNNNNNNNNNNNNNNNNNNNNNNNNNAUGGGUUUGUGGUUAAAAAUCUCAUUUAGAUAGAGUUUUUGAUGGGUAAUUAUGAAAUUUGACAUAAAGGGUACAUGAUUAAAAAGGUGGGAAAGGAAGAUGCGAAAAGAAGGUAAGAAGGAAUCAAUUCAUGGCAAAAAAGAAAAAUAAAUAAGAGGGAAGAAAGAAGACAUAUAUUGAUGGGAGGCGGAGGUGGGAUAGGGAGGUGAGAGAAAGAUGUAACAACAAAGAAGGGUUUAGCGAAAGGUGAUAUAAACAAAAUUAAUUUUGUAAGAAAAUAUUUUUUUUAAUGCCAUGUCAACUAGUUUGUAACUUUUAGUGUCCAUGUCAACAAACAAAAUUUUAUAAAGUUACCAAAAUUCAAAAUUUGUGUUACGAAAAGUAUUUCUAAUAGAUUGUGCCAUUUUCGGUAAAGGCUUAAUAGGUUGUGCAUUUAAGAAAAAAAAUAUUAUUGUGUUUCUACAAUUAACAUCAAUUAUCACCAAACCAUUAAAUACUAAAAACCAAUUAAGAUAUAGUCAUGUUACAAAAAAUGACUCUUGUUAUGAUUUUUUUGUUUAUGCAAUGAUAGGAUGAGAUUAAAAGGUUAAUUUCUUUUUCGACAAAACUUGUAAAAUAUUAUUAAACUCAAUUAGAUAUAAUAUCAUCUACAGUUGGUCAAUCAAAAAAAUUGAGGGUCUAUCCACCGAAACAAUCGUGGAGUUCCAAUGAGUCUGAUUAUACGCCAUAACAUGGGUAAGCUUGUUAACUUAUCUCCGGCCAUGACGCCAAUUACCACAAUCAAACUUUGCCAAAAGGCAACGAAUUAUGGACUAAAAUCCAUGUUCGGUAUGAUGAUCUUCCACAUGAUGCAAAGUCUCAACCAUGAUCAAGCUAUCACUUUCAAGAACCACAUUAGGAUACCUAUGUUGCAAGGCCAAUUGUUAGCAAAAUCUUGCCUCGACCGCCUCAGUUAAAGUAGGCUCAUAGCAACCCUACAAUUUCAACAUAUCCGCCAUUAAGUAAUGCCGAACGCCAUCCCAGAUAACCACCCCAAUACCCAUUCUGGAUCCUGUAAUGAUAGUUGCGUUUAAGGUAGUGAAACUGGUGAGUCAACAUGGGAUCGAAAAGGGACCUAGAAUCGUAAUCGUAAAAUCAAAUCGCAAAAUCAUAAAAUUUCACGGUUCUUCAAUAAUACUAAAUAUUCAGAAAUUCACCUUAGCAUAAAGACGUAAGUUCAUUAUCCAAUCUAAAAUUAAAAAUAAAAUCUCAAAUUCACCUUAAUAGGUUCUUCAGUUGCACUACUUUGAGCUGAUUUUCGAGUCUAGGAGACCGGAGACAAAAUCUGUGAACAAAAUUGUACAAUCUUACAACAAAAAACAAAAUACCUUCGAACAAAGAACCUAAACACCAAAAAUCCAAAACUAAUCUAACAAAAACAGAAUUAGAGAAAGGAAUGGGAUGAUGAGCAAAAUCAUGGAAUGGGAUGAUGAAGAAUCAUGGAAUCAAGGAAACAGAGAUACCUUCGAGCCGUAGGAGUGGCUGGAGCGAUGGGGACGACCAAAGAGGCUAUGACGAGGACCAUUGACUCCUGGUUCUGGUCUUCUAGACUUCUGGGGGACGACCGACGGGGGAGACGACAAGAGAGAAGACUGAGGAUCGAGCAGAGAUCGAACGAGCAAUCGACGACUUGCACAAUUUUUUUCAGAAGAUAAAUGAAUUUAAGGUUCGAUUUUUUGCCCAAAAUUGAACUCGGAUUUCCGUUUCGGUUCGAACCGAAGCAUAAAAACCAGCGGUCAGCACAGAGUAGUGGACUCGUGAAUCGUUGUAAACUCGUUCGAUUCCACGAUUUUCACGAUUUUGCGAGCGAUUUCAUGCCAUUAUAAGCCAUUUUGAUUGCGCGUGAAAUCUGACUCGACGGACCUAACAAAACUCGUAAAAUCGUCGAUUCCACUUCCUUCGUUGUGUAUGUACUGAUAUGGGGUUCCUGGUUUAGUGGUUGAACCGGGGUUGGACCGUUUUUAAACCGGGUCGGCCAUUUUAAAUAUUACAUAAAGUUAAAUCGGACCGAAAAAAUAUUGGAUUGAACGAAAUCAAACUGACAGUACAAAUAGUCAAAUUUUGAGAUUUAACCUUUGAAAAUUGAACAAUUUUAAAAAAUUUAUGUACAUUAUGAUGUUAUUCUUUUUUAAGUUUAUGUAAUAUAAUGAUAUUAUCUAUAGUUGAAGUCUUCCACACAUAUAUAUCUAGAAUGCUAAAGAAACCCUAAUGGAUCUUUCAAUCUUUCUUUAAUUGGGCUCCAACUACUCAAUACCCUCUCUCACACUUUUUUUCUCUAUAGAGAAACUCUCUCCCUUUUUCAUCAGAUUUUUUUCUCCUUGUAAUCUAAUCUUAUUUUUCUAAUAUUUUCAUUCUAUUUCUUCCCUAUUUGUCUCUUUUACUUUUUUCUUUUUGGAAGGUUAUUAGAAAAAGAGGACCACUAAAUAAUUCCGUCGACGUCCAGCAAUAGGGUUUUCCAAUUUUUUCACAGAUGGAUCCAUGUUUCCAAAGUUCUUUUGUUUUUUUUUCUGAUCUGAUAGUUGGUUCUUUAACUAGUUGAAUUAUCUGGUUUUCCGGGGAAAUCGGGUCAAUCCUCAGUUUUGUUCAUUCUCCUCAACCGCUAACUCAGUAUUGAUCAAAUGAUCGGUUCACAGUCGGACCGGCCGGGCUGAUAUGGUUUUGCUAACAUUGAUCUUAGUAGAGCCGACUAGAGGCCAUUCCAACCGAGCCACAAUGGCCUCAUACGAAAAACUCCUAGUUACCCUGAGUUCUUGAUAAUAAAUAAGAAUUGGAGUGCUUGUGCUAUGAUAUCACACUCCAAUUAGUGAAACUCAUUAAGCAUACACACAUUCCUUUCUUUCCAUCAGAAUCACAUAAGCAUUACCCAUCUUUCCAACUCCAAAUUCAAAACUUUGCGGUUGCUAAGUGAGAACCAAUCGCAUCAGUCAUUAGAAUCAUCAAAAUCAACCAGUGAUCAUGUUUAGAGUUACCUCAAAUCCGCCAAGUCCAUUGGCAAUCUCGGAAAUAGUGAAUUUGCAGGCAACCUGCAAAAUGGGCAUAUAUCACCAUGUCGAGGAUUAUGCUUAUACAUAUUAUACCUGUAGGUAAAAUUUACGAUGAAAUUUUCAUAAGAACUGCUCACCUUCGACGGAAUCUACAAUGACCAAGAACAAUUCCAAACAUCCGAGUUGCAAUUUGGAUUAAGACCCACUAAAAGAAAACCGUGUCCAUUAUUACGGAUAAAACCGGCCGUUGUCACUGAUAUUUCCAUGUCCCUGCCUCGUUGUCGCGGGAAAAUCAUCCGCGACAACGGGCGCCUUCAUAAUGAGGGGUGNNNNNNNNNNNNNNNNNNNNNNNNNNNNNNNNNNNNNNNNNNNNNNNNNNNNNNNNNNNNNNNNNNNNNNNNACGGCCGCCUUCAUAAUGAGGGUUGUGGGGACUAAACUAUCCGCGAAAAAUAGGGUUGGCGCGAACCCGUUAUGACCGGUUUGGUUCAAAUAGUUAGGUUGAAAGGCAUUUUAACAAGUUUAUCCGCAAAAACGGCAAGAGAUAUCCGCGACAAUGGCUAACAACAUUUGUUUUGCCGUCAUAACGGUUCCCCUAACGACGUUGAGUUUAUCCACGGCCAAGGUUGACAUUGUUAGUUUCUCCAUCCUACCCGUAAUGGUUGUUGUGCCAAAUACUAGGCCAUAAUAUCUGCGACAACAGCUCAAGUACUGCCUAAAAUUUUGUUAUUUUUGCUUGUUUCGUCCACUGUGGGCGCCUAAAAUAAAAGUUUAUAUAUGCACUAUUCUACACAUAACACAAUAUAUACCAAUAUCAUUAGCAUAACGAUAACACAUAUGAUCAUCCAAGAGUUAAUACUAUAACAUAAUCCAUAGAUCUACUCCAACAUAAUUCCUUGAUUUUUUACCUAACUAAAGUCAUUAGUUCACUAGACUACAUCACUAUCAACCUAGAUAUAACUACACUAGAGACUCGUCAUCCUCAUCCUCGUCAUUAUGACCAAGAUCCUUAUUAGCUCAAGUAUACAAAAGAAGAUAUAUAAAAUUGAAAUUAGGUUAAAACACAUAAAAUUAAGUAACAUGAACUUUAUAACAUAUAAAGAUUACUAAUAAUUUACCCGCCACAUCGUAGUCGUAGUUCUGUUGGAUGUGGUUAUAUUAUAUUAACCGCUACAAUCGUCGUUACGGAUCAUUAUCCGUGUCCGACGAUGACCUAACCGUGACACCCGUUAUCGCGGAUAUUAUCCCCCAUAACUAAUCUACGUCAGACAUCAAAUUUUGUUGUAGUGGCCAAGCUAUUCUUUAAAGCUAGUCAGCCAGUUUUAAUACCCCUAUUUUUUCGAAUAAACAGCUUUACUACUUGAAAUCCAAAUAAGCAUUCCGAUUCUUGAACAUCGCAAUGAAUAAUUUGCACGAUAGAAGUUGAUAUAGUUGACCAAAAACAGCUUUCAAUAAGAGCAGUAUUCUACUGAUAAGUCGUUCGAUUAACCAACUCACGAACUGUAGCAUCAACAUCAAACCUCAUCGGCGUAGAGGUCACAAAAUUACCGGGUACUAACGGAAGCCAUCCGUCUCCCCAAAUUCUAACGGACAUACAAUUUCCCACCCACCACCCAAGGCCACUCCAUACAAAACAUUGAGCACCAAAAAGGCUAUGCCAUAUAAAGCUAAACCCAACUCAGCUUUAAAGACAUAAUAGAAUUUUUAAAAUACUUAGCUUUCAUAAUUCUUACAAUAAGGGAAGAUGCUCUUGAGUGUAAGUUCCAAAGAUGUUUAGCAAGUAAAGUAAUGUUAAAGCCUAAAAAAUCACAUAAUCCCAUCCUAGCUUCGGAUUUCAAACUCAAUAGAUAUUCUUGACAAAAUGAGGGAUGAGCACUGGGUCGGGUCACCCAUCAAAACCCACCCGCCUAUAAUCACUCUCUACCACUACUACCCUUUUCCCCAUCACCAUAAAACUUUGCAUGCUUGUUUGUGUGUUUUUGUAGUUUUUUUGUGUGUUUUAUGUCGCUUUUCAUCGUUUGAGUAGAGAGAGAGAGGGAGAGAGAGAGGGAGAGAGAGAGAGGGAGAGAGAGUAUUUCAAGGGUUGCAUGUCAUACCAAUGAUUAAGAAUGCAUGAUAGAAGGUCUCGAUUCAAAUUAGGGUUCGGUCGGUGUCUGAUCGAAGGACGAAUGAUGCUUGCAUUAUUUUAUUUUUACUGAAAAAUUGGGCUUCUGGAGCAGCCUUUAGAUCAAUCUCAAGGUGUGUGGCUUUGCAUAGUGUGUGUCGUUUCCUUAAGUUUCUCUCGAUAGAAAAUCGAGUUUAUGGCGUGUGAUCCCACAUGCCAUGUGACUGAUUUUUGACAAAACGAACCGACCAAAGAACAACCAAAAACCCAACCGGCUCAAACCGUAAUGAACCAGAUUGAUUUUCAAACCGAUUUUCAACCAAAUCAAACUGAGUUUGACCAGACGCAUUGACCCUUCGUUGACCGGCCGUUGCCCCCGUUGACCGGUCACCAUGGAAGAAAAAACAUGGCAGUUUAGUAGUAUUUUGGGCAUAACAUUUUGCUCGGGAGUCUGAUUGACACAAGGUCAGUGACGUUGGAAACUUGUUCAGUUGCCUACAACUUUGAUGUCAUGAUGUGGCCUAAAUCCAUGCAGUUUGUGCUCAUUUUUCUUGGUUUGGAUUGAUGGAAUUUGAGAAAGUUUGAAUUGUGGUCUUGUUUGGUUUGAUGAUUUGGUGCGAUCGUGAUCAAUUUCUUGAUAGUAUUAUAGUGAUAUGUUCAUUGCAAAUGCUAACGUUUGGGAUGGUUGUCCAAAAUGGAUAAUUCUAGCUUUGCAAUGUGAAGAUUGCUGGAUGUUGAGACGUGAUCACUUUGUCACUCUUGUAUCGAUGGCAUGUUGUUGAUUUUCAUGAGAACUUGGAAUGGCAUCAUGAUGCUUCAAAGUGUGGUUGAACGUAGGUUGUUACUAGGCCUGAGAGUCGGUUAAUUUGGUUACUAACCAUCUGCUUAAUGUUCGGGGAAAAUGAUUUGGAGAUUAAAGUUGGUUAAUCGGUUUAACUGACCGACCAUAUGUAAUGGUUAAAAAGCCGACCAAUAACUGAUAAAUCGGUUAAAUAACCAAUUAUUAACCAACAGAUUAGUCGGUUAAUCCUAUGAACUGACUUUGAUUGAUUGACCGACUAUACCGACUUAACCUAACAAGAUCUGAAUCUCCAUGCUCAUCUCUGCCAUCGAGUGAGCCACGUUCUGCUCAUGAUAACCGUUCGUCCAAGCAUUCAUACUCUACUAAGAAAGCUUGCCAUGGCCGCCACUCUGAACACCGGUCAAAGAACUGAAUACUUGUUCCAAGAUCCGAACUUCCAGAACCGUCUCCAAUCCAUCUUCCCAAUUGUAGUUUGGACAAAGUUUCCUCAUCUGAAUUUUUACUCAAUCACACAACUACAACCUACACGACAACCAUAAUCAAUAGAGUGGAGGGGGAUAGGAUGAAACAGAGGACUGGUUGAAAUUAUAUGGGCCUAUGUUGCAUCCUCAAUAGCUCGUCGUCGCCAAGCCUCACUGAGCCGUCCCCGAGAGAGGAAGAGACGUAGAGUCUAGAGAUCGUGCUUUACUAGUGCUCAACACUCAUGGAGCCGUCACUGAGAGAGGAACAUAAUCCCUAAUGAAUCGUGAAAUCGAGAAUGAACGGGGAUAAGUGAAUAUGUUUGUGUGUGUGUGAGUUUGACCUAAAAAUGGGGGGAUUGGGAAUACGACGUAGACAUUUGGGUUCAGACUUGGGGUUCUUUUGACCGAUUAAUGUUGGUUAACACAAGUUAACUGACGGGUUUUAACCGAUUCACCGUUUAACUGAAGUCAGUUUUUCUCUUUGACCGUCCCCCAACCAACCUGUAGCUCGAUUAAACCUUCCUCUAACUUAUUCGGUCGGUUAAUCAAUUUUAAACGAUUAACCGAAACUGAAUUCCUACCCUUAGUUGUUACUAGGUGCUUUUGUUGCUCCCAAUUGAUGAUUUGUGAUUAUUUCCAUGCUCAUUUAAUUUGCUUCCAUUGCUCAUAUUUUGUCCUACCAUUACCCUUGAUGACUCAUUGGUUACUCACUGUUUUGGUAAAUGGUUCAAAGAAGCAUGAGGCAUAUUACUAGUCCAUUUGUUCCUGUAAUGAUAUAUCUUUGACCUCACCUUUUGGUAUAACUUGAAUGAUGCAUACGUUGUCACUUCAUGCUUUGCAUACACUCUUUAUGCUCGUUCUUGUUCAUUGGACUUGGUCAACAUUUGUGAGGAUUUCUUUGUGGCAAUUGAUGAUAAAUGAGUUAAGGUGGUCCCAUAGCUUUUGCUUACCCUUGUCUUACUAAUUUAUGAAUUAUAGGAUGCUCUUGUUUAGGAUUGCUAGUUAGUCUUGCUUGAGAAUAACUAGUUAUCUUCUUCAUUGGUUUUGCCUUUCUUUUACAUCUUGCCUAUGCCAUGUCUACUUAUGAGCUAUUUAUUGCCUAUCGUUGCCUAAUUCGAUUGGAUGCUUAUUGAGGUGGUUCCUUAGUGGCCGUAGGAUUAUGGGUUGACACCUCUACAUGCUUGAUGUGUAUGAUUAUUCUCCAUUUCGAAAUUUUCAAUGAUACUUUAAAGUCAAAUUUGAAUGCUCUUUACAAAUGUGUCAAUUUUGGCACAGUUUUCAAGGAUUCAUCAUUUAGUGUUUAUAAUUCAUUUUCGUUUUAAAUUUUCGUUUCCCACAUUUACUUUUCAUGUUUUGUUGCUUUUAUUGUUUUAAAUUUUAUUAUUUUUAUUUUAAUAGGCUUACUUUCCUUGUAUAUCCCCAAUUGUAACUUGGUAUCCGUAUUCUCAACUAAAUCAACAAAUGACACCAAAUAACUUAAAAUUGAGAACUAUAAGAGCUCAAAAGAAGGAGAUUUAGCAGAGUCUCUUAUAGGUUUCAAAAAAGCGAGGAAGGAUCUUCAAGUGGAGAGGACCCUUUCUCCUCCCUAACUCCAAUGGCGAACAAAACUCUAGCAUUAGACCACCUAAAGUCAGACGAUAAGCCAUGCAUUCAUCUCGUGGACUUUAUCUUCUAUUGCGACACCAUCAAGCUACACGGUGUUUCUGUUGAGGUUCACAUCGUGUUCCCCUUGAGUUUCAGCAACCAUCCACUCCAAGCACCUUAAAUCAUCCGUCUUAGUUUCUGCUUGUCCCCAAACACCGUACAUCGCAUGUACUUCGUGAUUUUUCCAUUCUUUGAGGCAUUUAGCUCCUCCUUGUACAUCAUACAGUUAUGAAUAAUGCCUCGACGUUGUUGUGUGCCUGAAAUUGAUAAAAAACACAACGCAACAACAUCAAAUGGACCCCAAACGGGUAUGAGACACUAAAUCGAGAUAGAAGUUACAAAUGCACAAAACAUCAUGUCGUGAAUGUUUCGAUCCGCGACACCGAUGGCUUGAAAUAUUUCAGAGUCGCCACCAAUCUGUUGAAGCGGAUUGGACGCUGUCGACAUAACCCAGGUCCUUUUGGACGUGAGUUAGAACAGGUCUGCGGAACAGAGAUCCUGGAUUCGAGAGGCGGUUACGUGCAGGGAAGGAUUAGCACCCCCAUAGCGCCCGUCAAACCGGUACUACUAAAUUUGAUAAGUUAUGUUUUAUUUUCUUAGUUUAGUGGUUUAAUUAUGCUUUAGUUUGGACGCAUAAGGUUAUGUAAAUUUUUUAGAGAAUAUUUUUAUUCAAUUGUAAGUCUUUAUGAGUUCCCACUCUUGUGGAAAUUUUUUUUUAUGUUGAUAAAUAUUUUGAGUUGAACAUUCUUAAUUUAAUUGUUUGGAUUUACGAAUUCCCAUUCUUGUGGAAAUUUUGUUUUACGCUGGUGAAUAUUUUUAAGUUGGUUAUUUUUAAUUUAUAUGUUUGGACUCAAGUCUUACGACUGCCUACGUACCUAAUUCUUUGGGAUCAAAGAUCAUGUAGUUCGUUAUGGAAAAGUUGAUUUGAGGAUUUUUUGUAAUUUUUACUAUUAUAAAAACCACGUUAUCAUGCUCAUUUUUUAUUUGAAAGACAUUUAUUUGGUUAUUUCAAAGUUGGAACUUUAUUUGCCCACUUAUGAUUAAAUGAUAAUUCUACAAAAUUCGAAACUCUUGUCACGGAUACGAAAUUCAUAUAACAUUGCUAUAAUAUCUUUAAAGGAUUAUUAUUAAGGAAAUUUCACAUUUUUUGCCAAUCGAAAAAUUAAUUGGUUUAUAUCAGUUAACUUAAUUUGACAUAAUUAAAAAUGCAUUACAAGACGGUUAACGAACUUACAUUUAAAUAAAUAUGUCACAAGUAUUUUUGGUGAUUUGACAAUUCUAUUGUGGUUAUGUUAAUGUUAAUUAAAAUGAUACGUUGAUUUGAAUAAUUGUAAAGUUUUGAGUUUUUAAGUUUACAACUUUAAGGUAUAAAUAUCAAAUAGGAUUAAAGAAGGUAUGACGUUUAUUCUGUUAUUCUUCCACACUUAUUUCACUUUUAUUCCACUCUUAAUAUGGCCUUAAUGAUAUAUGAAUAUAAUUGAAUCGACUAAAGGCUUGGCCUUUCUAAAUUAAUUGUGCCCAAGCUCGAGCUCGGCCCAACCGAACGAUGAGCCGAACCGGCGGGUAAGAGGAGGGCAGCCCGCGUGCCAAACUGGUCGAACCGGUUAUCCACGGUUCGAUCAGAAAACUCAAAAAGAUGAAAUUGCCCCUAGCGUUCCGUGCGCUGAAGAAGGGUGGCAGGGGAAAUUUUGUAACUUCACCUUAAACCUAAUCGGCCUUAUAAAAGGGCCUCUUAAAUCGAGAAAUGACUCAUUUGCAACUUCCCACUCUCUCUUUAUCAUCCCUCUUUCUAAACCGCCGCCCUUCUCCCCCCCCCCCCCCCCCCCCCCCCCACCCACCUUUAUCACGGAGUGUGCUGUUUUUUUCUAGUUCCUUUCUCUUCUUCUCAGCCGCCCUUUUUUGCCUCCUCUUACCUCUCAGGACCCCUCUUUCUACCUCCGUUUUUUCGAUUUUUCCAGAUUUGGACUUGCAUGUCAUCGGAGGAUACUCCGGUGAGUCCUCCGGCAAAAUGCAAGUCUCGAUCUGUAGAUCUAAUGUUUUAUUUUGGUAUUAAACAAUUUUGGUUAUUUGAGGGUGGUACCGACGGGGGUGGCGGGGAGGUAGAGAAAUGGAAAAAAGAGAAAGUUAGGUAAGUAAGAUUUCUUCCCUAUUCCUUUUGAUUAAUGUCUGGUUAAUUGCUAACGAAGCUAACUACCGGUUUCUUUGAUGACUUUUUUUAUGUCUUUGAAAAUGGGCAUAGUCGACAUGUUUUGGAAAAUGAGAGGAAAAGGAGAAGAUUGCUUUUAGGAGGUAAGACAGCUAAUUUUGAACCCAUUCUAAUUUUUCUAGGUAGAAGUAACAAUUCUAUUUGUUGAUAAGUUGCAUAAGAAACUAGGUUUGUUUUGUUACUGAAGUUGUAGUAGUAGUCUAGGUGUUUUAAAAAGUUUUGUUUGAAAAACUUUAUUUUUUUUACUAUUGUUUAAAUUUUUUUAGCAACAUUGUUUAUUCCAAAAAUCCGUAUUUUAACUCGAUUUUACUAUGAGUUUCAUAGUUCUUUAGGUCUUUGGUGCGAAAAUGAUGAAAGAUGGCUAUAGGUUUCGUUGUUAAUACUUUCCAAUAACUUUUAGUUCAUUUUUGAAGCUUAUUUGAUUGAUUUGUUGGUUGUUUAUUAAAAUGAAUCAUUUAUUUGAUUAGUUGCAACGAAUCAUUGGGUUCAAUAGUAGUUUAGAAGGUUGCUAAGUGAUAUAGCAUAACAAUGUAUAUGUAUGAAUGAUGUGUGAAUGCUUCAGAAUAGGGAUGUUUUGAAUGAUUACCUUCAUUCAAAAUUUCUCUUUUAUCGUAUUUCAGGUGGCGGCGCCUAUCGUGAGUGACGUCAAACCGAUUUGGCGGCUUCUAUGUGUAUGGCGACAAAAGAUGUUGUAAAACUUAUUUUUUUACAGUUUUGUAAUUAUUUCCCGGGACUUUGAACGAGUGAUGUUGGUGUAUUAUUUUUGGGGGUUUUGGGAAGAACUGGGGGACGAAUUUUGAAAACUGUAAGCUCCUCUUUUUGCUGAUUUUUGUCAGUCCAUUUAAAUGCAGAAAGGGCUACAGUCACUUCUUUUAACCAACCACAUCUUGCAAAGUUUUCUGACAAAAAUAAAAGGUGGCAGCUCCCCAAAUAAUAACCGUAACGGGCCCGAUAUUGGGCUUGAAAUAAGGCCUGGAAUCGGGCCCGAAAUCAAAUUGGGUCUAACACAUAAAUAGUUUCGAGAUAAGGGAUUUUGCCGAAUUUCGAGAUAGCGGACUUGAGGUCCACUCAUUUCGGCCGUUUCCGUUUAAAAAGAUCUAAAACAAAAUCGGCUUAGAACAGUCUGUAACAUAAUAAUUACAUCUCGAAAAUAUGCUAUUUGGCUACCAAGUUCUCCCCUAACGUGCACUUUGAUUAAUUUAACUGAAUAAACUUCGCAACAAGUAAAAUCUCGACGCUAAAUCCUUCCUAGAGAUGCUACGACUAUUUAGUGAAAUGACACUGGCGUGCAUUCUUCACUCGAACGAAAUUUGGUUACUACAGUUGUCCCUCUUUGUAUUACUUUCGCUUGGAAGUGGAAAGUGGUACAAAGACAGAAACCAAAUUUCGGACGAGCGCCUGAACUUCUCACGUCAAGUCCACUAGGGUCCAAGGAUCUGCCACAACAUCGGGUAGAAAACAAAAUUUGCAACCUGACCACACAAACAACAUGCAAUGCAUUUCCCUAUGGGUGUUAGGGUGAAUGUACUAGGGACUCAGCUUGACUUAUCUCCCGUUCCAUGGGUUGACUAUACUAGGGACUCAACUCGACUUAUCUCCUGUUCCAAGGUGCAAUCCGCUUUCCCCAGGAUGCUAAGGGUUGAUGUACUAGGGAUUCGACUAGACUUAUUUCCCGUUCCAACGUGCGAUCCGUUUGCCUUAGGACGCUAAGGGUUGAUGUACUAGGGAUUCAGCUUGCUUAGUUCCCGUUCCAUGACUACAAAUGUGUUGAUGAUGAAUGGUUUCGAAAGAGUUUGAGUAAGGCUCCCCCUUUUUGAAAAAAACAUGCAUCUGAUGGCAAUGCUUGAUUGAUAUUUUUCAUCAUUUUCACUCCGACGAGAUUCACUGUUUUGUUUUCUUGUCGCUUAGUUCGCACUACGUGCUAGCGCAAUGGUGUCAACCCUGCUGAUAGCUGGGUAACCUUUAAUGUAUGUGCCCAUUUUUCUUUGUUUUUCCCCCGACGUCUUCAUAUUAUUCCCAUGCCUUGGGAUUUUAAGGAUCUCUUUCCUACUUUGUCUCUACUUCUAGAUAUAAUGGUAAGAUAACGACGACCUUUGUAAAUUUCUUUCUUCGGUUAGGAAUAAGUGGAGAAAUCCUGCCAUCCGGGCUUCUUUUCUUUAACCCUUCCCUUUUACUAAUUUUUUCAUUCUUUCAACGGUUUUCAUUAUUAUUACUAUUAUUUUUCUCCCUUUUGUCUUCACUUUACCGCUAAUUUCAUUUGAAAAGACCUCCUAAUGAUUAAUUAGAGCGAAGGUGUUUGCACGAACGCAUUUGCCUCAAGUUCCUGUGGGGUGUUGUACCUCAUCCAUUUUGUUUGGUGAUGCGUGAACAAUGGUUAGGAGAGUAGUAUUUGAGAAUUCAUGAAGUAUCCAAAACUUAAAGUUGACUUAAAUUAUCACUUUAUUGAUGGAAAACCGAUCACGUAGAUCUCCGUCAGGAACUUUAAGCAUAGUACUUGUUUACUGAAUAAGAGUUAAAUAGGUAAGGGAGCUUGUCUCCGUCCAUGUUUGCCAGUAUUAAUGCCCCCCUGAGAAAGCCCUUUCCCCUACAUAGGGCCCUUCAUAGUUCGGCUUCCACAUUCCUCUUGGGUCCCCUUGUCAAAUGGAAAUCUUCUUCGUUACCAACUCUCCUUCGCGAAAUUCCCGUGUUUCACUUUUUUUUAAAAGAUCUGAUAAAUCUGCACUGAUACAGGCGUUAGUGGUGGAUAGCUGCCAACCUUUUCUCAUCAAUUUAAUUUAACUGGUCGUAUGCCGCUUUUACCUACUCAACUUGUUCUAACUUCGCCUCCAUGAUAACCCUUAGUGAAGGCAUUUCUACGUCCAUGGGAAGCACUGCCUCCAUCCCAUAGACCAAUUGGUAAGACGUCGAUCCCGUUUAGGUUCUUACUGAUGUUCAGUAACCGUGCUGGGUAAAUGGUAGAAUUACGUGCCAAUCGCGGUCGGUAACGACCAUUUUCUGUAUGCUUUUCUUGAGGUUUAUUGUUUGUCAGCUCGACCGCUCCGUUCAUCUUUGGUCGGUAUGGUACCGAGUUGUGGUGCUUAAUCUUAAACUUGUUGCAAAGCUCAUGCAUCAUCUUGUUGUUGAGAUUUUUCGCAUUGUCGAUUAUUAUUCUUUCCAGGAGCCCAUACUAGCAAAUGAUUUCCUUUUGUAUGAACUUUUUGACAACGCUCUUGGUAGUGUUUGCAUAUGACACAACCUCGACCCAUUUCGUGAAAUAGUCGAUGGCUACUAGGAUGAAACGGUGCCCAUUAGAUGCUUUUGGUUCAAUCAUGCCUAUGACCUCAUGAUGCAAAAGGCCAAGGCGAUGCCAUAAUGUGCAACGAUGAUGGAGACACGUAUUUCUCACCGGCAUAAACCUGGCACUUAUGGCAUUUUCUCACGUGUUUUACAUAGUCAGAGUUCAUCUUCGUCCAAUAGUAACCCAUCCUUAAUAUCUUCUUAGCUAGCGCAUGACCACCGACAUGUGUGCCGCAGACUCCCUCAUGGACUUCUUUUAUUGUUCUCUGAGAUUCAGGGGCAGCUACACAUCUUUGCAGCACAAAAUCAUGGCUUAGUCUGUAGAGGGUAGUCCUAUGAACAUAGUAACCCAUCUCCAAUCUCCGUAGAGUCCUUUUAUCAUUUUCAGAUGCCCUAGCUGCGUACUCCCUUUUAUGUAGGUAGGUCUUUAUGUGAUGGUGCCAGGGAUUCCUCAUGCUCUUUUUGGACUCUACCUAGGUAGGCAGGUGCAUUUUUCUUUUUGAUUUUGCUUCAUGGGUUAACCUCGGUCUCGUCCAGUUUGUACAUCGAGGACAAUGUGGCGAGAGCAUCCGCUAUUUGAUUGUCGACUCGCGAGAUGUGCUCAAACUGUAUCGACUCAAAUUUUGCGGCCAUUUCCCCUAUGUAUUUAUGGAAUGGGACAAGCUUAUGACCCCUAGUUUCCCAUUUUCCUUCAACUUGUAUAUUACUAGCGCUGAAUUACCAUAUGCCUUCAAAUUCUUAAUAACCAUUUCGAGGGCUCCUCGGAUCCUGAAAGUGCACGAUUGGCACUCUGUUAUGUUGUUGGUGCAAUCGAAGCAAAUUUUGGCAGUAAUAGGGCACACCCUCCCUUCAGAAGAGACAGAAACGACGCCGACGCCCUGUCCCAAUGAGUUUGAGGCCCCGUCAAACUUCAUCACCAAUGUUUUUUGGACGAAGCCUUCCACUAAUUUCUCAGUGUUCAGUAUAGUUUCAUCCGGAAAUUCCAUUAACAUCGGAUUCGUGUCCGAGAUUGCAUGCUCCGCUAGAUGUUCUGCCACUACACUCCCUUCAAUGGCCUUCCUUCGGAUAUAAACGAUGACGUAUUCUGCCAGCAGCACUUGCCAUUAGCCUAUCCAUCUGGAGAGGGCCAACUUUUCGUGGACAUCCUUGAUAGGGUUCAUUUUUUAUAUUAGGAGCUUCGUGUGAUAUAACAUGUACUAUCUCAGCCUUAUGGCUACCCAUACAAGUGCUCCGCAAGUUUUCUCGAGCGAUGUAUAUCGAGAUUCGUAGUCAUGAACUUCUUGCUGGUGUAAUAUAUUGGCGCGCUCUUUCCUUCCCGAUUCAACAUGUUGGGCCAACAUCGCGCUUACCAAAUUUUCAAAUACCGUGAAGUACAAUAUUAGUGACCUUCUAGAAGUUGGUGGGGCCAGAACCGGAGGGUUUAAUAAACACCCUUUGACUUUCCGAAAGGCAUGAUGACAACCUUCAUCCCACUCGACAUUCCGGUUCUUCUUUAAAAGCUUGAGAAUGGGUUCACACGUUAAGCUCAAAUGCGAUAUGAACCGACUAAUGUAGUUCAAGCGUCCUAAGAAUCCUAGCACCUCUUUAUGCAUUUAGGGAGGAGGUAUGUCAACCAUUGCCUUCACUUUGUCAGGGUCCACUUCAAUCCCCUUUUGGCUAACCACGAAACCGAGCAGCUUCUCCGAGGUGACUCCGAACGUACACUUUUCUGGGUUCAGCCAGAGCUGGUACUUCCCGAGUCGCUCGAGCAAUUUUCAUAGCACAGUUACGUAGUCGUCUUCCUUUUAUAACUUUGCUAUAAUGCCAUCCAGAUAUACCUAUAUUUCUUUGUGUAUCAUGUCAUGAAACAGUGUGACCAUGGCCCGCUGGUAAGUUGCCCUAGCGUUCUUCAGCCCAAAAGACAUAACUUUAUAGCAAAAGGUUCCCCAUAAAGUGAUGAUGGUCUUUUUUUCUCGAUCAUCCGAAACAUCCUGAUAUGGUUGUAUCUUGAGAAACUGUCCAUGAAAGAGAACAUAUUAGUUGACGGUAUUAUCAACGAGGACAUUUAUGCGAGGCAAAUGGAAGUUGUCCUUUGGGCUUGCCCUAUUUAAAUCUCUGUAGUCUACGCACAUUCUCAUUUUUCCAUUCUUCUUAGGCAUAGGGACCAUAUUAGAGAUCCAAUCGGUGUAUUACGCCACCUGUAAGAACCCGAUUUCGUAUUGUUUCUGCACUUCUUCCUUAAGUUUGAGUAUCCAUUCCGGUUUCAUCCGCCAUAACUUUUGCUUUACUGGCUUGCACUCCUCCUUUAUUGGCAAGUGAUGUGUUACUAUUGUUCAUCGAGGCCCAACAUAUCUUGAUAAGACCUUGCGAAAACGUCCUAGAAGUUCUGGAGUAGUUUGACGAGCCUGUUCUUUUCUGCUUGGUCUAAACUGUCCCCUACCUUAACCUGUCGCCGAUUGUCCUCUGUUCCCAAAUUCACGACCUCUACUGACUCGUAGAAAGGUUUCAAGGAUCGCUCUUCUUAUCCUGCCAUCCAAUCUGUUUCUAGGUUAGAACCAUCACUGGCUUCCUCGGUUUCCAUCUCAUAAACUGGGUGGUGAAAGUCAACUUUAGUGUUUCGUACCUCUUCAUUGUUUUCAAACACAUCUGUAACCCUGUUACGUGACGGGAAAUAGAAAAGGGAAAAAGAAGAAAAGCGGAAGUGAAUAAUAUAGACGAUGCACGGAUUGAGACUUAUGAAAACAUGCUUUAUCAAACAUGUGAAAAUGUGAUACAUGCAUUCAGGAUCACUUAAAAAACACUAGGAAGCCCUUGCUUAUUUUAUUUAGUAGUCAUAUUUUAGAGUUAUUACAUCUGCAAUGGCGAAAGUAACUCCAAAGCCUCCCAAUUGCUUAGCUCUUCCUUUGGACGGAGCUGCCGCACCCAUUUUAUUCCGGUCAUAAUUCCCGUACCCAGCAUGCUGAUGAAGAGAUCUGCAAAAUCCGACUGUAACUCUUUGGUGGUCGGAUCAGUGUAGUUUUUCCUCACAUUUAUCUUUCCAGCAUUCUUGCUUGUGAUGUGAGGUAUGAAAGUCAGGCCUUCAUCAUCUUCUGUCCCACUUAACCUGGACACCCUCCUCCUUAUCCGUUCCUUUUGGAUCCUCCUUAUAUCAUCAUCGUUUAGAAUGUAUCGCAAUCCCGCACGGUUCUUAUUUUCUUUGACCUGGAUGGGUUCUUUCAGCACCUCCUGCCAUUAGUAUCAUAGAUUCCAUACUCGAUAUUAAUCUAACCGAUGUCUCGAGACUAAUUAGAGUUAAUUACCAAGUGCAUUAAUAUAGUACAAUGAUUAAUCUGAAAAUUAAUUCCAAAGCGGAUCGACAUUCCGCCCCUCUCUCAAGUGUAGCGGAGACGACGAUAGACCUUGGCGUUUGGGGAUUUAGUCUCACUUUCGUAUCUAAACCAAAUCCCAACAAUAAUCUUACAACUGGAAUUCGACAAUUACAAAAUAAAGCAGUAGCUAUAUGCAAGAGAAAGACAAUAACGAAAUUAAUGAUAGUUCCGCUUAACACAAUCGAAAUUAUGUCGUAUUAACACAUAAUCAAGGUUUCAUCAAUUUCGGACAGACAGCUUAGUUACACAUGGUGAUCAAAUUAAAAACACAGAAAUCAAGAUAAUACAUGAACCUGGAGCUCCAUGCUUCAUGAACGCUCUGCCGUCGUAAAAUUCAGCAAUGUAGGCGGUCCGAACGGAAGUUCCGAAAUGGAUUUCUUCACCUUCGGAGCUCGAAAUUGCAUGCGGUUUGAAGUGGCAUGUUCCUGGGUUGAAGAAGGACGUCUUGGGGCAGAGUAGGAAGGCUUGCGGGUCUGAUAUGGUGUGUGUAUGGUGUGAUUUCGAAGUGGACAUGACUUGCCCUUAUAUAGGCUCGAAAAAUGGCGUAUUAAGGCCUCCGACAUGGGCAUACCAACUCCAUCAUCUGUAUGCAAGCUGUAGCUGUCCCUGGACUGAUGAUGGACGGAUCUACAUGUGCUGGACGUCCUCAACCAUGCCCGGUUAUCCUUCCGGCGAUCGGUUGAGCGGUGGAUUGUAAAACGGGUCGUAACUUCUUCGUUGCAAAUCUGAUUUAGCUCCGGUUUGUAUCGUUGGAUUUUUAAUUCAUCCCUUUAUAAUACGUGACCUGAAAUUUUAUUAAACACACUAGAAGAAAUAUAAAAUUGGACCAUAAAGGUCCAAGGGUUGAAUUUACGGAAUUAAGUGCAAUAUAACUGAUAUCCGUCGAAACUUUUGUUUGCAAUUGAUAUUAUGACUUGAAGUGUAGAAAGUUUAGUGCCAAAUAUUACGGUAUGUUAUGAUGUGAUCAAAAUACCCCACACUUAAACUUUUCUUGUCGUCAAGAAAACUGUAACUUAACCCACACGAAAUACCAAAGAUAGUUACCAUCAUUUAUACAAGGUUUAGGAAAUGUAAUUUUACAAUUUACGAUGCAACAGAGGUUAAAUGCUUGGCCACAUCGGUGAGAUAAAUCUCUAGUUAGAAAUUCACGAGACAGUGCACACCAGAUUAAUCAAGAUUCAAAUGCUAAAAAUAAAAGGGUUAAAUGCAUUUGUUGCAACUAUAAGAUUCAUUUUGCGCUUCCUUACGAAAUUAUGAAAUUUUAUUUCUUUUUUAAAGUUUCAAAAUUUUGAAUAACCCGUAGCCGAGCAAGACUAGUGAGUACUAUACUCAACCUUUUAACACAUUUCAUUCUUCCCACACACACCUCAAUUAAGUCCCGUAUGGGAGGCAUCUAAACUGGCUGCCUAAUUGGCAGGGCAGCUAAUGCAGAGGUGCUAGUCCUCUACCACACGCGUUAAGUUAAUCAUUGAAUUAUUGAGACAAAUUAAAGAAGCAUUUUGAUUUAAACAUUUUUUUAUGGCGAAAGUUGAAUCCAGUUUUGAAUUUGCAGAUUUAAACCAAACAUUUUAAGCAUUUGCAUCAAUUAAUCCGAGAUGUACUAAAUACAAAAAUGAAAGUCUAGUAAAAACAAGUGGUCAUUCCGCAACAACUACCAUGUCACCCAUAAUCGUUACAUUCCCAUUGUCUAUUUUAAUGUGAUCCCUAAAUUGGUAGAUGUGUAACCGCUAGUACUGUUUGUGAGGAGAUUAAAGUAAAGUACGGAUGAAAUGUUGAAAAAAAUUUAAAACACCUCUCGUUACACCAUCACCCAACACUUGAAUUAUACAUUGCCCUCAAUGGACUAUGAAUCUGGGAUAAGAGGGAAACAAGUAUACCGAGAUAUCGAGAAUGACAAUGCCAAAGUAAACUGCUCUAUAAUACCUGUCUGUCGGAUGAUAACGGUAACACAGUGAUAACAAAACAAAACAAAACUCAAAACACAUUUGGCAAAUGCCACAACUAAAAAUCAUACUAAAUCACACCACACAAUGAUGCAGAUCCAAGAUAAAUAUAUUCGAAAAUGUUAAUAUUUUGAAAUACAUCAAAAAGAAGAAGAGAAAAAUACACAUCCUAGAUCGAAAAAUCAAUCAUAACUAUCGGAUCAUAUUCAAAAUUUUGGGCAGAGUCAAGAUGAUUUUAAGGGUCUUGGAUGAUUUUAUUGAAUGAAAUAAGAAACUUGGGUUGUCUCCCGAGGACCACUUUUUUAUCGUCUUUAAGUUAGAAGUUUCCAAGAAAAUUAUUUAAUUAGCCAGGUGAAACACCUCAUGGAUGGUGAGAGAGUCGCUCGCAAGGUAGAGUUUCAACCGAUGACCAAUAACUUUAAACAUACCAUGAUCAGGGCUCGAGAUUUCAACAAUUUCGUAAGGAAGAACUUCAGUCACUGUGAAUGGGCCCAACCAAUGGGAUUUAAUUUUCAUGGAAAGAGGCGAAUCCUAGAAUUAUAUAGGACUAUGUCUCCCGGACGAAAGUGUUUUCCAGGUUUUAACCUUGCGUCAUGAAGACGCUUUGUCUGUUGCUUAUACAAAUUGCCAUUUUAAUAGGCAUGAAGAUGGAAUUCCUCCAGUUCAUGUAUGUGGAACUGAUGGCGAGGUCCAGCGACACUCAUAACAAGGUUUAGAGAUUUAAAGGCCCAUAAUGCCUUAUUCUCUAACUCAACAAGCAGAUGUCAUGCCUUUUCGUAGAAGAGACGGUAAGGGGUAGUGCCGAUAAGAGUUUUAAAAGUGAUAUGCCCAAAGUGCAUCGUCCAACUUUUUUUACCAAUCCUUGCGAGUCCAGGUGACAGUUUUCUCCAAAAUCUACUUAAGUUCUCGGUUCGUUACUUUCGCUUGACCACUAUUAUGUAGGUAGUAACCAGUGGACAGACGAUGAGUGAAACCAAAGCGGCGACACACAUGAUCAAACUGUCCCUGACAGCGGGUUCCUCGAUCGCUGAUGAUAGUGCGAGGUGCUCCAAACCGAGUGAAAAGUAGUUGCACAACUGGCUUAUAAGCUAGCCUCUUCCAUAAGAACUUUGUGGGUAAAAAAAGAGGGAGAGAUGCUUCGAAUAUCAUAGAUUUUCCAAGAAAUGGCCUUAAUAUGCUCUUUUAAAAGGGUGAUGAGACGUCCCUUUUAUUCCGGAAUGAGGGAGGCAAUGAUACUGACUAGAAGCUUCGAGUAAUCCAUCAGAAAAGCAUACUUGAGGUGCUCCGGUAGUGCUUUCAUCUUCAAUAUUGGAGGCUCCUCAUAUGAGGGUUUGACGGGCUCAAUCCUUGAGAGCUUGACAGGAGGUUCAGGAGCAGAGUCUUAGCAAUCUGCUCAAGUUGUUGUACCUCAUCAGAAGCAUCCCAAACACCAAAAUAAAAGGCACAACUCGAGAGGGUCUUAGCAAAUGCCCUCAGAUAAGAAGAAUACUGAUCCAACCUCAAUGGAGUCAGCAGGAUAGUUUCAGUCAUCCUGGACAUGGGCAUAUUUCAUCCUGUCAGCAUGGCGAAAUGUGGCCUUUCCUUGACCUACUUGAAGAGUAAGCUCGCCUUCAUGGACAUCAAUGAUGGUGCGAGCCGUAUUUAAGAAUGGGUGGCCAAGAAUGAGGGAGGCAUCUGAUUCAUUGGUGUCAAUGAUAACAAAGUCCACCGAAAAGACAUAAGGUCCCAUCUGCAUAAGUACAUCUCUCAGGAUUCCACGACAAAUUCGAGUGGACUUGUUAGCCAACAGGAUGGUCAAUUGAGUCGGUGUUGGUUCUCCUAAAUCGAGCUGUUGGGAUAUCUUGCAUGGCAUUAGAUUGAUACUUACCCCAGAGUCAGCCAAAGUCUUAUCCAUGCAGGUGUUGGUGAUAUAGUAACAUAAGGUGAAAGAAUCGUGAUCCUUAUGUUUCUUAGGUAGCUGGUUCAGAAUGGCAGCAUAACAUUCAACAUCAAGAGUAACAGACUGAAUCUCAUCCAAUUUUCUCUUAUUGGUCAGAAUCUCCUUUAGAAAUUUCGAGUACUAGGGCAUUUUGGUAAUUUCCUCAAUAAACAGGAUAAUGCCAUUUGCCGUAAUCAUAAGUUCAAUGAACCUUUUGUAACUGGCACCCAUCAUAUCACUCCUUAGACGAGAAGGAUAAGGAGGUUUUGGUUUGUAGGGUGGUAACUCUGGCUUAGGGGGAGAUGGUUACAGUAGCCUUUGGAUAGGUGGCCGAGGUGGCUUUCUCAUCCUUCUUCUCGACGCUAAAGUCAAUGAUCAGCGUUGGAGGAAUGAUGACAGGUGUGGACUAUGGAAUGGGAGGAUCCUUACUGGUGGUUCCACUCUUGAGGGUGACACCUUCACAAGAUUCCGAAGUGUCAAAUCCUUCAUUAGUAACAAAGAUUGCUUUUGAUUCUUCUUGCAUAGAAUUGUUUUCUGUGUUGCUAGGGAGAGAGCCUUGUGGUCUCUCACUAAGAAUUUUGGAAAGAUUUUUCAAUUUCAAUUCAAUGUUAUGGAAAGUGGUUUGUUGCCCACGGAUAAUCUUUUCCAACCUCUCGAGUCUGGAAACUUCAUCAGACUUGGAUGUAGAAGAGGCUUGAAUAGGCGGUUAUUCAGGCUUUUGCCCAAAACCAGGAGGUCAUUGGUUAUUAGUAUAGUUCCUCGAUUGAUAGCCUUGAUUAAGACGAGAGGCAGAGUUUCCUUGGUUGAAGGUUGAUCUGUAAUAGGCAUGUUCAUCUAAUUUGUGAAUGUUUUGCUGUUGUGACGGUCCUGAGCAUUGGGUAUCAUGGUUGGUUUGGUAAGAGUUUUGGAAAGACUUGGAUUUAACUUGAUUUCAAAAGUUUGAGUUUUAAUUUUGACCAAAAAUUUAUCAAUCUUGUGGGUAACCACCACCCAAAAAGUCAACUUCUUCUGUCUGGUUAAAAACGGUAUCCCCAGAGUAACAGUCAGUAGAAUCACAUCCUUGAUCCCCUCAAGCAACAUAGACAAAGAUUAUUGCCGUCGAAUUCUAUAGGGUCCUGACGUUCAGCUUGCUCACUUUUUGAGAAAGCGCAUGCAGCUGAGAGAGAACGGGAGAAAUAACCGUCCCAAGGGUUUCAUGACGAAUCACAAAGGAUGAAGUGGUAGGCGGGGUGCUAUGAUGCUUCCCAUGUUGCCUAGUCAAAGUAUGACUACACAUAUCACAUCCAGCAGCCAGGUUGAUCAUUUGUGUGCUUUCCCGAUUGAGCCUUCAAUUGAAAAUAUCGGCUUGGUUUCGGUCAUCGAAGCUGUGAUGAGCGCAAGAGCGGAGGAGGGCUUGGAAUCGAUUGCAUGCUUCAUAUAAUUGUUCAUUAUCUCAUUGCAUGCAAUGGAUAAUUCUCUCUUUUAUCUCACCGCGCUUCUAUGGAGGAAAAAAUACCUUGAGAAAGGCUUUAGCGGGACCGUCCCACAUGGUAAAACUCCCUACUGGUUGAGAAACAAGCCAGAUUUUUGCAGCUCCCUUGAGAGAGAAAGGGAAACGCUAGAGGCGAAUGGCAUCAUGGUGCACCUGUUGGAGUUGUAAGGUGUCGCAUAUUUUGAGUAAGUAUUUGAUAUGUUGGGUGGAGUUAUCGUCCUCUUUCCCCAAGAAUUGGACUGUUUGUUGGACCAUGUAGAUCAUAGCGGGUCGCAAUUAAAAAUUGUUGUCUUCGACGUGGGGUCGGGCGAUGGAGGACCCCAGGUUCUAGAGACUUGGUUUGGCAUAAUCGCCAAGUGUCUUCUCUUCAGCCAUGGUGAAGGAUCCUUUGGGGGAAAUGCUUACGUGAUCUUCGCCAGAGUACUCAUCCUUGGAAUCCGUUCUACCGAGAGCCGGAGGUGCAAUUGUAAUUCCUUCAAGGACAUGUUUAGAAAAUUACCAAGUAAUCCGUCGAGUCAUUCAUUUGACCGAAUAGGAGUUUGGAAGAUGGGAGGAGAGAGGGAAGCAGAAUGAAUGAAUUCGUUGAGUUUUAGGUUUUGGAGGUUUGAAGAAGAAGUUUCGAGAGAGUGUUAAAGAAGGUGAGUGGGAAGAUUAUGGAGUACUUUACUUAGAAACGCCGCCUUGUUGCCAAAACCAAAACUUUCAUUUCAGUUCCAAGGAAAGUAGGGGAGUCACUCAGACUACUUAAAUCCCUUUAAACUUUAGGUAGCAUCUCUUUACGAAAGCCAAAAUAAUCCUCUCAUCUUUUUUAAUUCUCCUUUCUUAUGAUUUUAAAUUUUUUCUAUUUUUCUAUUUUUAGUGUUUAAAUUCAUAUAAAUGAUUGGUAGCAGAUUUUUUUAUUUUUUAAUUAUUUAUUUGGAUUUUUUUGUGGAAUAGGAAAGAUUCGGAGAUGAGUGGAAGAUAUGGAAAAGAUUGAGAGUUCAGUUGAGCAAGAUAAAAUAUUGAAUGGCUGAAAUGUAGAGAGAGAAAAGUUGAGUGACCAAGAGGGGAGCAUGGGAAAUAGUAUCUAGAAAAUAAAUAUAAAAUAAUUUAAGAAAAAGUAUUAUUAUUAAAAGUGAAAAUUUAGUAACUGUUUCGUACAAAAGGAACGAGGUCCACGACAACGACGCCAAAAUUUGAUCACCCCCGUAGGCAAGUUUAAAGAUAAACUCGGAAAAACCGAGGUCGUAUUCACGCGGAUUCAUUCCGAGUAUUACUCCUGAAAGUGCGAAGAUGAAAGUCUAAUCGUUGGAAUAGCGGGUAUGAAAGCACACAAAUCGCAAUCGAGUAUAAUGGAUGAGUGAAACCUGUCCGGAAAUGAAUUCACCAAGAAUCAGAGCAAGGAUGGUCAUUGUAACCCUUCUUCCUUGUUGCAGUUUCAUCAUGAUAGGCUACACCUUUUGUUGUUAGAUUAGGGAUGAUGUGGAUGCAAGGAGAAUCCCCUCAUAAUGAGGGAUUGGACAAGAUUUGGAUGAUUUGUGGGCUUGCUUUGGAUGAAUGUAGGGAGAUUGAUGCAUGUACACACUUGAUUAAACUAGGAGUGUAUCAUUGAAUGAGAAAUUGGUAGUAUACGAGGACCUUCCAUACCCAAUUCAUCCAUCUUUUUUUGUAAAUUGCAUUGACGCAUUUAAUCAAACAUUUGGCGUGCAUUUUGGUUCUUUCUUAGUGGACCAAACUAGGUUUAGAUAGAGUCAUUGGGUGUUGAUGUGACCACAUUAGCAUCCUUCAUAGGUGUUUGGGGUGCCUUAUUUCCUUGUGCAUCAUCAUAUUAUUCCGAUUGAACAUCAUUGAAUGCACUUUUGGCUUAUAAGUUGUUUGUGACCACAACAAGUUAUAAGGUCCAUUGGUACUGUUAGAUAUGACCAUGCAUAUAGACUUUAACGAAUAGGAAUGCAUGGAAGCUUGUAUAGUUUGGUACCUAACAUUACACUUUGGUCAUAAAAUACCCAUCACAUAAUCAUAAAAUAUUCAUAACAUUUGGUUUAUGUUUUUCUCGCAACUCUUUUUGUUGGAUUUAAUAAUCACCACCAGGAUGCCGUUUUUAGAGUCUGUUUAAUGUAUGAUGAUAGAAUUAAAUCAUUUGAUUGGUUAUUCCGUACAUUUUUACAGUGCCUGUGAGGGAAGGCACCCAAACCAUUUUCUCAAAUCAGGACCCGACCAUGGAUGCGGCAUUGAAGAGUGCCAUGCCAAAUACAUACCACGCGACGGCGGUGGGGUAUGAUAGGAAUCCUCUGUCGACACACCCUAACUGUGAUGCAUGUCAUCGGGAGGUUUGAAAGCGAGAAGUUCAACACACUUCCCGCAUAUACAUGUUGAGGAGAUGGACUAGAGGAGCCAAAAUUCGGUUUCAUGACAUAGUUAUUACGCGGCUCCUCUCUCAGGAUGGUGAGGAUGGUGAAAGACUUGCUGAAGUUUGUUUCUAUGAUUAGGGUUGUUUAUAGGGUCGAUCAGUUUCAUAAUAUGUUGGAUGUUGUGGUAGAUGGGUUGGCCAUUCAGGUAUGCAGUAAUCAAAGUAUACUUAUUUGUUAUAUUCACCGUACAUGACUUGUAUAUGGUCAUAAUAUACCUAUUAUGAUAGUGGUAUUUCUGUAGGUUGAACAAGCAUUGACCUUGUAUGAUGGACAACAGCCAAGGGAAACUGUGGUGGCAGAUAGAGAUACCACCAGCGUUGCAGUCGCUACGUGUUGUAGUAGUGUGAUCAGGAGAGAGAUUGCAACGAAGUACACCCCGCAGAGCAGACCAAGUAAGAACAACCAGCGUGGGAAACAUAUCACAGAUACGGUCGCAUGAGGCAGUGUAACAAGUUUAGGAAGAUUCGUGCAAAGGAAGUUCAAUCCGAACAAGCAGUCGCAAUGGACGUGGAAAUGGAGGACUUACUCAAUAAUGAUGUUAUACAUCAGUGCAUCGCAUUUUUGCAGGCACAGGAGAGCACCACUGCUACUGGCAACCCCCCUCGAUUGAGAGUGGCCCUUGAUAGGGUAAUCGUUAAUUAUUUAAUGGUCAUUAUGGAGAAAAGCCUACCUGUAACGCUAGCAGAACUGUAGCAUUAUAUAUGUACACUAGUCACGUAGUUAUGUAAGAACAUUGCCAUAUUAUGGGUAGAUCAGUGACAUAUUUUUGGUAAAACAGUACCAUAUUUUGGUAGCACAGUCUUGUAGUGUUGGAAGAAUAGUGGCAUAUUUUGGGAUGUAGAAGAAGACACAUUGUUCGGAAUUAUAAUAUUAUAUGUGGUGCUAGUAUUGACAUAUUCUGCUACAAGGAUUACACCAUGUGGUAGGUCCACUUCAAGGAAUACAACAAGGAUACUACUGUUACCCUAAACAAUAGGCAUAACAUCAAUGUACAAUAGCCAUAACAACGUUACACAUACUUUCUUAGGUUCAAACUGCCAACCAUUGUUCUUCAAAUGGAAAAUGUGACCUUCAUCGCCAUGGCACUCAAAUGGAAGGCCGUCUGGAUGCUCUGAUAUGAUAGUGCGAAUGACGUUCCCUGCUUCCUUGAAAUUGACUUUAGCCUUCCAAAAGGUAUCCUUCCACAUUUCAAUCCGACUGACCAAGUCAACGUGGCUGCUCCUUUUGUCUCCAGAGUGAAUGAUACCUUGGUCCACGAGGCUCCCCUAUCAAUGAUUUCCAUGCAUAAUACAAACACCCACUACUGUACUAGUAUCAACCAGAACUGAAAGUAUACAUAUCAUUUUUCAUAUUCAUGCAACCUUACUUUCCAAUCGUGACAUUCUAGUAAGUCUCUUGUAAAGCUCCCCAUACACAUAAACUAUGCUCUUAAAUAGGGCAUAAUUCAGAAACCAUUUAUAACGAAACCGUAAGAGUAACAUGGUACUAGCAUACCAUACACAUAUCCAUAACAUAACAUAGAUAUCUAACUAGGAGGGUUGGUCGAAGUUCCAGCUUCUAUGAGGAGGUCCACUACCCCUUCAAUUAAAAUAUGGGGAUGAAGUCGACUCCAUUGUGAGAGGACCAGGCGACAGAAGUACUUGAGCAUGUCCUUAAUCAUAACGUUCUCCUCAUCCCACCACUUCGUUUGGUCCGUUGUAAAACAACCAAUGUGUUGCCCCAUAAAACGAAGUGCCAUACAGGCCACACCUGUGAAUGUCAGGCUUUUGUGGCGCAGACACCACCCUCAACUUGAAGUCCUUGAUAUCCACGUGAGUGUUAAGAAGAACAAAUGACCUCGCAUAUUGCAUUAUCUGUGUUCUUGUCGGCUUGUUGUAUGGCUUGGUCUCAAAGUCCUUCUUAUAGAUAAGGCUAUUGAGAAUAACUCUUUCCUUUUUCUCCAUGUCCAACCCAAAGACAUAGAAGUGCUUGAAACUAUUUCCCCUUAUGUUGGGAAGAAGACCGAACACACAAAUAUAAUAUAGUAAUCACAUCAGAUUGUAUAUCAACUGCAUACCACAAAUACAAUACAUACAUAUUUCACGGAACUCAAGCCCUGGAGGUACUUCUUAUUUAAGAAAUCCUUGCAAGUUGGUGGGAAUUUAGAUUGAGUUAGUGAAAACUCAAUCUCAUUUUCAACUUUUGUCCUAGCAGGAGUUUGAAGCCAUAACACAGUCUAACUACACACAUAAAAAAUCACACUUACUAACAAGGAAUAGUCAGAUUAUACUCAUAACACAGUUAAAUUGGCAACAUAACAGAGGCAAAUUGUAUUCAUAACACACACAUAACAUAGAAAGACAGUUAAGUAACUUUGACGAUUCAAACAAUACUUGUAGUAAUUGAAAUAAGCCCAUAUAGUCUUUUUAUUGUGUUGUUGUUAGCCAGUAAAUUGUCAUUAUUGAACUGGUUGCAGAAUGCAUCAAUCAGUUUUGAUGUGCACCUGGUUUGAAUAAUAGACGGUCUCCAACUCAAGCUUCAUGACUUCCAUGCCUUUUUUUCCGGAAAGUCGCAUAUAAUGCAGCUGUUGAUAGGAAACAAUACUGCACUAGUUGUAGCCAUAACACAAAUGUAACACAAACGUAACAAAACGUAACACAAAUGUAACACAAAAAUAAAGGAUAUAUAACAUAGUGAGAAAUGAUAUGUACUCCCUUUCAACACUAGAUAUGGCAUAAGUUACUAUCUUGCUCUCAACUAGUGUUAAUUCAUGUUGAAGUCUAUUUGUGAGAACGAUCUUCAUGCUAGUCUUUUGUCGGUAAUAUGCAAUUGGAAUUGGAUUCUCUGAAUCACCUACCAAGUCCACUACAACUUGUCUCCACCCGGAGUUGCCUUUGUCGAUCCACCCACUAACUCCAAGAUGGCUUCUUUUGCGGUCAUUCUGUUGGUCCACUUCAACUUCCUUCUAUUUUCCUUGGCAACCUGCUCCUCUUCCUUUUCCUUUUCGGCUUCAUUAUCUUCAACCUUCUCUUCUUUCUUUUCUUCAUCCCUAUCAUCUGACUUCUCAUCUUACUUUUCGUCUGCAUUUGCAUCCUCCUCACAGUCACUACCAUCACAAUUUUCACCCUUGUUGUCAUCAUCAUCAUCAUCAUCAUAACCAUCGUCAUCUUCCUCCUCAUCUUCACCAUUGUCUUUAUCAUCAUCAUCACCAUCGUUAUUGUCCAUGAAAUCACCGUAGCUCUCGUCUUCAAACUCAUUACGAAACUCCACGUCAACAACUCCCUUGCCCUUCCCUAGUAAUAGGUUCUGGACAGACGCACUCCUAUCCAGUCACAACUAUAAUUAGCAAGGCAGUUGUCCUGCAUUGCACCUCGAUCGUCGCAACCUCUGCUAACAAUGUUUGCUGCAAUCAUGGUAUGAAGAUGCCUUCAGAUUAACCCAUAUACGAGAUAUAUAACACUUAGGUAAUUCAAAUAUACCACCAUCAGAACAGUACAAUAGUCGUGAAAAGCAGUUCACUGGCACAUAACAGAACAACAACAUAUCUUACGUUUAACGUCCAUAGAACAUUGUAAUAACACCCAUGGAUCAGUUACCUGUUAUGAAGAUGCAAGUUGUACUAUCGCCGUCUACUUGUCCAUUCUAGGGUUCGUUAAUCAUGUUCCCCUAUGCUGAUGCACAUUCACCCCAAAGGUAAGGAAAUCUAGCUCGAGACUUUGUCGAAAAUGUCUUGAGCCUAAGUGGGAGUAAUAGGUUUCAAGCCAGCUACAAGAGACGCCCUCUCACUCAACAUGAAUGACCAGCUGCCGUUAGGAGUACUUAUCCUUCUCAUCAUUUUGAUGACAACAUCGCAUCUUAGUAGGAACAAGUGGGAUGCUCUUUCGGAUCGAUACCAGAAAGAUCAACCAUGUCCAGAAAAUGCAGCUGACACAAACAACCGAGGAUAUCAAGAUUAGACAAUCAACCAACAGUAGUCUGCAUCAACAUAAGAACACUGUACAACUAUUAUAACACAACGAUAGCAUAAAUAUAAUAGCAAUAUAACUUAACAGUAACACUUACCACCAUGAAGUUCAUGUCCCUGCUGGGAUAGGACGCCUUCUGAUUCUUAUAGUAGUCCUCCAGACCUCUUAGCAGAUGAUUUGAGACGUCAGCCGCCCAAUUAGGAUUAGCAAUCUCAAAGUUGUGAAGGUGAAGAUACUUGGAAAACUUCAUUAUAACCCACCGGGUAUUUGUUGGAACAAGCAACGACUCAAGGGCAAGCAACAUGUACAACUUUGUAUAAGCCGUGGGAUCUUUACAAUUCUUCAUUGCAGCUUGGAGUUGAACUAUGUUGAUGUGAUUGUACUUAUUGCUCUUUGUACCGGUCACCCUUUCAAACUGCUUCAAUACCCUUAGCCCGAAAUGUUGGACAUCCACGUCGGCUAGACUUGUAUACAAGGGCAGACCAUAUACAUGGUGCACGACCUCUGACGUUACGCCCAACAGCUGACCAUCCGGGAACUUGAAAAGACCAAGUUCAGGAACAAAGGAUUGGAGGAGGAAUUGAGGAACCUCCUUAUUAAUCAUCUCUAGUUGUAGAUACAACAACCCAUAGAAGCCAGCGUCAUUGAGACAUAGACAGAUGUUAGUACGAUGCGGGUGGUCGUUUUCAAGUAGAUCAUUGGCAGCCACCAACUGUCCAAUUUUGCAACAGAAUGGCUUGCCAUUUCCCUUCUUUUUCUUCAAGCCAAUCUCCCCUAGGGGGCCCUUCUUUACAAUUGGUUGCUUUGUGGCAACUGCCUUUUCGUUAGCACAACCCUUCUUUGUCGGAUUAGUUUUGGCCACCAGACAAUCAAAUAACAUACUCAUAUUCAUAAUGUACCAAUGUCAUUAUGAUUCUCAUAACAACAAGACCAAACAAAGAUCGACAAUCAUACACAGGUACGUGAUCAUAUCAUAGUAAUAUCAUAUACGUAACAUAGGCAUUACGUAAUACUAAGAAAUACAAAUAGAUACACAAUCAUAUCAUAGACAUAAGAUAGGAAUAACAUAGGCAUCUAAUAUGCAUAACAACCAUAAACAGAAAGAUAAAUUGUAUUACACACAUAACAUAGGAACUUCAUACUAGUAAGUAGCAUAAACAAAAUAACAAUCAUAUCAUAGACAUAACGUAUGCACUUCAAAAUUGUAACAAACAUAGGCGGUCCUCAAAUCUCCCUUUUCUUGGGGGUUAACAGACACUAAUGGUGUUUUGUAGUUAGAGUCAGACUCCAAGCUCUAAAAGGAGGACGAUUCUUUCCGUUUCUGUUUCCACUUUUUGUUGCAUGAACCUUUCUGUACCCCACGUUGAGAUUACUGUAGCUCUGUGAGCCAUUUUAAAGAUUGAUGAGGGGAGAUGAGAACUCCUUUGUUAGUCUUCUCUAUAGGAAACUACGAGAAAGGAGGAAAACUUAUUAGAGCCUUAUAAAAUACCCUAAAAACCAAUCAUAUAUAUACGAAGCCUUAAGGAAGGUACAACAUAAAAAAAAA